This 70270-nucleotide long non-coding RNA is filed under the name Citrus maxima (pomelo). Its description in RNAcentral is "long non-coding RNA (CMAX_LNC000711)". The record is from RNAcentral. Lineage: Eukaryota; Viridiplantae; Streptophyta; Magnoliopsida; Sapindales; Rutaceae.
UUCCUUCCCAGAAAGAGGACUUCCCAACACGAUUUCAAAUCUUGUAUCGUUUCCAGAAGAAGGUUUUCCUACCAAUCUAACAUCACUUACAAUUGGAUAUUUCAAAAUGUAUAAGACACUCGUCCAGUGGGGGUUGCACAGGCUUACCUCUCUUAAACGCCUCUGCAUCAUUGGAUGUGAUGAUGAAGCAGAGUGUUUUCCAGACGAGGAGAUAGGAAUGACGCUGCCCACCUCUCUCACUCAUCUGACACUUUCGGAAUUCAAAAAAUUGAUAUCUCUGUCUUCGACGGGUAUUCAGAGCCUCAACUCUCUUCAAUCUUUGUCGAUCGGGAAUUGCCCGAAUCUCACAUCAUUUCCAGAGGUGGGCCUUCCAUCCUCACUUUUGGAAUUACACAUUUACAGUUGUCCAAAGCUUAAAAAAGCGUGCAAAAGAGAUCAAGGAAAAGACUGGCCCAAAAUUGCUCACAUCCCUUUCGUUGAGAUAGACGGUAAAUUCAUAUACGAUCCCGAAUCAGAGGAGUAGAUUCUAUUACACAGGUCAGUUGAUUUAUAUUAUCCGCUAUAACAAGCUCCUCCUUUUUUAUUUUUUUUAAAUAAUAAUUUUGCAGUCAGUCACGUGAUUCCGUUUUCACAAGUCAGAUUGUAUGUUGAGGCUAUUUGCCUUUUAAUCGCAGAUUAAAUUAUAACACUUAUCUUAAAAUUUAAUACCAUAGACAGAUAGACGAUUUUUUAAUCCAAAGUUUUUUUUAUUCACUUCAGUUAGCAUUUUUUUUUCCCCCAAAUCAUGCAAGCCGAGAGUUUCAAUCAAGAAUUGGAGGAUGUGAAUGGGAUUUUUGUGAAAGAGUAACAUAAUGGAUGACCGAACAUUUCAUCUGUGAUCUCAAAGUCAACAGAAUUUUAUUCACUCAUUGACUUUUCAACUGCCGUGGUUUUUAUGGGUGAAAGAUAAGGGCAAUUACAAAAAAUUUGCAAAAUUUGUCAAUUUCUUAGAUGGUAGAUAUAUCGACAUUUUAGAUUUCAGAUAUUUGUCACCAAUUUGCAAAAUUGAAAUUUCUGUCUUCAAUGGGUUUUCAAAGCCUCGCCUCUCUUCGAUUUUUGUGGAUUGGGAAUUGCACAAAUCUCACAUCAUUUCCCGAGGUCGAGGAAAAGAGCGGCCCAAACUUGCUCGCAUCCCUUGGGUUAUGAUAGAUGGAAAAUUCAUGUACGAUCCAGUCAGAGGUGUUGAUUCUCUUAUUAAGGUCAGCUGAUUUCUAUUAUCCACUCUGACAAUCUCCUAUUAGUGUUUUUCCUUUUUUUUUUUUCAAAAUUUUGCAGUUCUGUAUAAUUGAAAAUGCCACUCACUUGUUUCCUUUUUCACAGGUCAGAUAGUAUGUUGAGGCUAUUUGAUUUCUAUCGGUGUUUGUUAAGGUAAUUAGUGCUCCCUCAUAGGUAUGACUAGAUUUUUUUCACUUCCGUAAAUAUUGCAUUUUAGACUGGCAAAUUUAGCAGUAAUUUUAAUACAAUUUUGUUGGUGCCUUGUGUGCCAGAAGCUAGAAAAAUGUGUAGUUUUCAGAUAAGGAGUCUUGUUAGUUCUCUAGUAAGAAUCCAAUAAUUUGCUUUUGCACGUCCAUCUAAUUUGUGGAUCCUUGCAUCAGAAUUUGAUCAAUCCAAAGGAAUUGCUUUUAGACAGAAGAAGAAUAGCAGCACCUAGCCUAUGUCAUAGUGUAUGGACCCGCAAACCUGAAACUAUUAGAUUGAGGUAAAAAAAUCAUUGACCCUCACAUGUUAACUUCUUCUAGUUACUUUUGUUGGGAAAAAAAAACAUUUAAGGAAUUUGCAAUUUGUUGUUAGUUAUGGUAUCUGAUGUUCUUUUCUGUUUUAGCGUUUGUAGAAUCUACGGUAUUAUGUGUUGGCAGUUGCCGUAUCUGAGGUAACUUGCCUUUAUUUGUUUGCUUCUGACUUAAGGACACCAACAUUUGCCAGAGAUUUAGAGAAGCAUCUCAAAACACUUAGCAAACUUGACAAACUUCAAGAUGCACUUGCCCCCACGCCUUAUUCUCCACAACGCAAAACUUGUGAGUACACUUAUGCCUGCAAUUAUUGUGAAGUGUUUGCAAUUUCGAUGCAGAGAAAUGGUUUCUUGAUGCAAAGUAUUAAACUGUUAAGAUUUAUCCUGCAGGCUUGUUAGAUGUUGUAUACUCGAAAAGCCAACAACAUCAAGAACUACAACUCCAAGACCAACUUUGCAUUAAUUCAGUCAGCUGUAAAAAUGAUGCAAAUGACACUAUAUCAAGCUGGACUUAGAGACUAGUCAGAUCAAUCAUCCAUUUCAUCAACGGUUAAUGUCAUGAUGGUGGCUAUCAGAGGAAACAAAAGAUGUGUCAGAAUCUAUACGAACAUUGAGAAGCAUGAGAGGAGCUUUGAUUUUGAGUAGGGUCAAUGAACUCAUGUUGGUAAGUGGUGAUUAAAGAAAUUUGUAAGCUUAGUAGAGUUUCAGUAUUUUCUGUUUGGAGUAUAGUUGAUAAGUUGACUCUGUUUAAGAAGCCCGAUUAUAGUAGCUGACUGUAUUAACCUUUUUUUUUUUGGUCUGCUGUUGUUUUUGGUUUCGAUUAUUUUUUCAACAUUGGGUUGAUCUGUUGAAGAACAAGCUUGGGUUUGAUUAUGUUUUAACUAUAAGGAAGAGCCAGACUUGGUUGCAGGCGUUAAGCUUUUAAUGGGUAAGAACAAAUGAAUGCUUUAACCAUGUUUCUCACUUAUUAAAAUGCAUGGAUUGAAGGCAUCUGGGUUGAUCCUGACAAUGUGAUGGAAAUACUUCUCUGUUUUCAUGUAACAGGACAAAUAGAGAUCUCUGAUCAUGCCUGAAUUUUUGUUGCAUUGAAAUUUCUACCAUUACCAAACAUAGAAUGAACUGGGGAUACAUUAGCUUAAGACUCAAUUUUGAGAAGGAAGUUUGUACUUGCAGCCUAUAAAAUCAUGUCCGUGUCGUACGUUUCUUUGGGAAAUGAAAGAUUCUGUGUGUUCUUUUAUUUCAAGUUCACUGAAAUCACAUUUGUUUUCUCCGAUGCUUUCCAGAAGGUAACAACAUCAAUUUCAAAAAUGCUGGGGCAAGAUGCAUCAUGCAGUGCGACUCAACUUGAGAAUUCCUGGCCACAUUACCCGUAUGUCGAAUGAUCGCACAGUUCAACCUUGAGAAGCUUGUAAUGAGUACACAACUGGGUGCAAGUAGUUUUGAAAUGAAUUUGCCUCAAAUGAUUUCUUGCUCGCAUCCCUUGGGUUAUGAUAGAUGGAAAAUUCAUAUACGAUCCAGAGUCAGAGGUGUUGAUUCUCUUAUUAAGGUCAGCUGAUUUCUAUUAUCCACUCUGACAAACUCCAAGACCGGGUUUUUUUUUUUUUUUAAUUUUGCCGUUCUGUAUAAUUGAAAUGCCACUCACUUGUUUCCUUCUUCACAGGUCCGAUAGUAUGUUGAGGCUAUUUGCUUUUUAUCGGUGUUUGUCAAGGUAAUUAGUGCUGCCUCAUAGGUUGAUUACUCACAGAUGAAAUCAUAACUUUUAUCUUAAAAUUUAAUAGCAUACACAGAUAGAUGAUUUUUAGUCCAAAGUUUUUUUAUUCACUUCAAUCAAAAUUUUAGAUUGCAGAUUUUUGUCAAGUAUUUCAUUACAAUUUUUUCAUUUUUUAUUUUAAACCAGAAUAUGAGUAUAACAUUUUGGAGCGUGCAUACUCUGAUGCAUGCAAUUAACUGUUUUUAAUCAUUGGAUUUUGAAAUUAAUAAUGGUAAGAUGUGUACUUAUUCUGUCUUCCAACAACCUUGGCCUCUUUCUUCGGUCGCAUAUCUAAUGAAUAUUUCUCUGUUUAGUUAAGGAUGAAUGCUUGGAGUGGGGUACUUGGUAACAUUUCUGCCUCAGAUGAAUCCUUGAAGAAAUGCCCGCAGUUCCUGAGACCAAAUACAGGUCUGAUUCAAAACAGCACCUUUCUCAGAAAAUAUGAUCCAAGGCAAAGUCAUGUUCUGAUAAUGUUUCCUUAAGUACAAAGUUGCAAGGAAACUUGAUUCAUUAACUACAGUUUUUUAUUUUUAGGACCUUGUAUCUGAAAGGUUCAGUGUUUUUUUUUUUUUCAAAUUUAUUGUUCAGAUCUCAGAGGAGUAUAUGGUUUAGAUUACAAAACACCCAUGAUUAAUUUCAUUUUUUUUUUAAUUUCAGGGAGAAGAAGUGGUCAGUUUCAAUCCGGAAUUGGAAUAUGGCAAUUUGGUUCAAGCACACACACCUGGUCACUUGGUCAGUGAACCUGAACUUUACGCAGUUUUUUCAACUCAGUGAUUUUUGGAACGCAUAGUGGUGUAAGGAAAUCAAAAGAAAUUUAUGCAUAGUCAAAUUCUGAUAUUUGCUAUAUAUUAUACAUUCUAAAGUUUCUCCAGUUUGUUCUCAGAUUACCAUCAUUUUUUGCCUUCACCAAAAAAAAAAAAUUGAGUGGCUUUCCAGUGGAUAUUUAAUCGGAGGUAUGACUGGAUUUUUUUCACUUCUGUAAAUCUUGCAUUUUAAACUGGCAAAUUUAACUUUAAUUUUAAUACGACUUUGUUGGUGCCUUGUGCCCCAGAAACUAGAAAGAUGUGUAGUUUUCAGAUAAAGGGGCUUGUAAAUUCUCUAGUAAGAAUCCAAUAAUUUGCUUUUGCACGUUCAUUUUAUUUGUGGAUCCUUGCAUCUGAAUUUAAUCAAUCCAAAAGGAAUUGCUUUUAGACAGAAGAAGAAUAGCAGUACCUAGCCUAUGACAUAGUAUAUGGACCUGCAAACCUGAAACUAUUAGUUUGAGGUAAAAAAUUCAUGACCCUCACAUGUUAACUUUCAUGAAAAACACAUUUAAGAAAUUUGCAAUUUUUUGUUAGUUUCGUAUCCGAUGUUGUUUUCUGUUUUAGCAUUUGUAGAAUCUACUGUAUUAUAUUUUGGCAGUUGCAGUAUCUGAGGUAUGUUUUGCAUUUAACUUGCUUUAUUUGUUUUGCUUGUGACUUAAGAACACCAAUAUUUGCCAGAGAUUUAGAGAAGCAUAUCAAGCUGCUUGGCAAACUUGACAAACUUCAAGAUCCUCCAUUCUUCACAACGCAAAACUUGUAAGUACACCUAUGCCCGCAGUUAUUGUGAAAUGCUUGCAAUUUUGAUGCGCUGAAAUGGUUUGUUGAUGCAAAGGUUUAAACUUUUAAGAUUUACCCUGCAGGGUAGUUGGAUGCUGUAUACUCGAAAAGCGACCAACAUCAAGAACUAUGACUCCAAGACCGGGUUUGCUUUAAUUCAAUCAGCUGAAAUCAUGAUGCAAACGACACUAUCAGCUGGACUUAGAGACCGGUCAGAUCAAUCAUCCAUUUUAUCAACAGUUAAUGUCAUGAUGGUGGCUAUUAGAGGAAACAAAGGAUGUGUCGGAAUCAAUGUGAACAGUGAGAAGAAUGAGAGGAGCUUUGAUUAUACGUAGGCUCAAUGAACUCAUGCUGGUAAGUGGUAAUUAAAGAAAUUUGUGCGCUUAGUAGCAUUUCAAUAUUUUCUGUUUGGGAUAUAGUUGAUGAGUUGAUACUCUGAUUAAGAAGCCUGAUUAUAGUAGCUGACUUUUUUUUUGUGGUUUGCUGUUGAUUUUUCUUUUGAUUUUUUCAACAUUAGGUUGAUCUGUUGAAGAACAAGCUUGGGUUGAUUAUGCUUUAACUACAAGGAAGAGCCAGACUUGGAUGCAGGCGUUCAGCUUUUAAUGGGUAAGAACAAAUGUAUGCUUUAAACAUGUUUCUCACUUAUUACAAUGCACGCAUUGAAGGCAUCUGAGCUGAUCCUGAAAAAGUGAUGGAAAUACUUCUCUGUUUACAUAAAACAGGACAAGAGAUCUCUGAUCAUGCCUGAGAAUUAGUUGCAUUGAAAUUUCUACCAUUGCCAAAAAUAGAAUAAACUAGGAAUACAUUAGCUUAAGACUCAAGUUUGAGAAGGCAGUUUGUACAUGCAGCCUAAAAAAUCAUGUCUGUGUUGUAUACUUGUAUGUUUCUUUGGGAAAUGAAAGAUUCUGUGUGUUCUAUUAUUUCAAGUUUGCUGAAAUCACAUUUGUUUUCUUAGAUGCUUUUGAGAAGGUAACAACAUCAAUUUCAAAAAUGCUGGGGUAACAUGCAUCACGCAGUGCUACUCAACAUGAGAAUUCCGGCCGCAUUACCUGUAUGUUGAGUGAUCGCACAGUACAGCCUUUAGAAGCUUGUAAGGAGUAGACAACUAGAUGUGAGUAGUUUCAAUAUGGAUUCGCAUCAAAUGAUCUCUUGCCAGUGAUUACUAUAACCUCUAUCCCAAAAUUCUUGGAACUGGUCAUACCAAUAAUGAAGUGUUGUGUAUGUUGAAGACAUUGCGAAAGCUCCGUCAGCCUUUGUAUUGGAAAACAGUUGGUUGUAGUUGCUUCUGAAUGAUAUUAUUAAUAGAUACUGUAAAAAUGAACUGUGCCACUCAUUUUCAGAGCCCUGUUAAGAUGUGUUGGUAAUGUGUUUGAAGGUUGUUUGAUUUAUGUUGUAUUCAGCUAUAAAUCAAAGAUUCAGAACAUGGUUAUGUUACUGGUUUCCAAAUCAAAAAAUUGCCUUGUGAUGUUAGUGUUCAUUGUUUUCACAGGAGAUCAGGUUCCCUGUUGAUGAAUCAUUAAGGCAAACGCAUCCAUGUCUUAAGUUCAAAUGUGUCUCUUCUAUUUUCUAUUACUGACUCCUUUAUUUUGAUUUCUUCAUUGUAAUGGAAUUGGUUUUUAUUCCAAAUUAGUCUUAAGUUCUGUUAGCAUUUGAAGAUAGAACUAGAACUAAAUGAUUGACUGGAUUAAAUUCCGAUAAAGAAUUAAGUUAUAUAUUUAGAGAUAUUAUGUUUUUUUUUUUUUCAUUUGUUCAAUUUGGUUAGUGGUGAUUUCUUAAAGACUCAAUCCAUGUGCGUUUAUGCAUUUUUCUUUUGCCUUAAUUUCUGUUUCUUGGGGAGUUUAUACAGAUUCUUAUUUUAUGCUUCACAUGCCACAUGAAAGAUCGAAUUCUUAUAAUAAGAGUCUGAGAUCUCCCUGAAGGAUUCAAAGCAUUUUAUUUUAUAUUAAACUCCUUUACGUGGGUUUGGACACUACCACAAGUUCUUUAAAUACUAAAACGAUUUUAAGUCUUUUGUAUCAUCUGAUUGAAAUACAUGAAAGCACUCGUGGCUGCAAAAAUACAGUUGGGGCUAUUUCUAAAGUCUUCAACAGCAUUUUCUUUUUAACCUUUAUCCUCAUGGUUGUUUUUGCAGUUGUUCUUUAAGAAAACAUUUAAAAGGUUCUCUUUAUGGAUUUUUGAAAAUAAUUUUAACAUAAGCAAUUUUCAGAAGCACUUUAGAUGUCUGGCAUUUAGAAAAUUUUAUUCCGGUGUCACAUAAAAUACUUAGGAAGUUAAAUUUAUUUAUUUAUGAGCAUGUGCCAGUGCCCUGUGGCAUCCUCUUCACUUGUGAUAGUCAAAUGUAUUAUACGAUACAAUAUUAGCUUGACUGUAGCACAGAGGAGAAUAGGGUUGGUGUUGGUCUGAACCAGCUUAUGUAACAGCUGCCAAAGGAUAAUUUAAUUGUACUUUGAGUAAAGCUUUUGCAAAUUAAACAAGUGAUAAUUUGUUUCUAUUAAGAAAAACUUAAAGGAUAGGGCUAUUUUAACUCACCAAACUACACAUUAAAAAUCUACUUACAAAAAUAGUUUUUAAUUAUUAAAAUAUUCCUAAAUUAAAUUAUAAUUAUGGACACUAAAAUAUAAUUUUUUUUAUAUUUUACCCUUUGAAACUAUCUUUACAUUCGAUAUUACAUUUUUUUCUUAAACUCCAAAUUGAUUUUUUUUAUUAAUUUUAAAACACAUAUAAAGUGAUUCAUAUUGAUUUUAUACUAACAAACUAUUAUAGCACAUUCGAAAAAUAAUUAAAUCGUUCUUAUUUACAUAGUGAAAAUGCAAAUAGCUCAUUCAAAUGUUAAGGAAUUGGAGAGCUGCUGCUGGAGAUGAAAGAUGUGAAUUAAACAUCAGAGAAAAAAUUAUGUUCACUGUCUUGCCAGACCAAGCACCGAAAAGCGUCGUAAAGAAAAAUUAGAUAAUUUAGAAGAUAAAGCACGUGGAAUGGAGGCAGAAAGCAAGUAAUGAUAACUCUUUCGACAAACUAAUAUAUACCAAAAUGUAAUAUCGGCCCUAAUAAAAAAUGUGUUACGUAAGUAAAAGCACCAGGUCGGUCGUGCUACUAUUUCUGUCCCGGUAUGGCUCACCUCAACUGAAUGGUACAAGCAGAGCAUGGAGACGAAUAUGGCCCGACCAGAGAUGAGUACCGACCAGAGGUGUAUGUCGAGCCGAUACCCGUCUCCUGAAAAAGCGGGAACACGAUCCCACAGAAUCGCGGAAUUUGCGUUUUUCCCAGAACCGUUGCGAGAGAUGCGAUACCCCACGUUUACCCGUAAUGUAGUAGUUAAAGUUCCGUGAAAGGCCACCACCCGAAAAAGGAGGGAUGAAGACUGAGCGGGAACGUGGGAUAACGGCUAUAAAAGAAGGAGAAAUCGAUGAAGAAGGGGACAGAAAAAUCAAAAGAGGGAAAACGCUGCCAAAUUAUUGUCAGGCUAUCUUCUUGAAAAUUCCAGAUAAAUCAAAAACUACUCUUAAAUCUAAAUUGCUCUGUUUUCCCGUAAAUACCUUGAGCUAACUUAGGCAUCGGAGGGUUUACGCCGGCAAAACCACCCGCGUCUUUGAUCCGUUUUUUUGUGAGCGCAGGUCUAGAAAGAGAAAGGAGGACGAGUCCAAGUCCCGCGGUUCGAACUUGAUAACAUAAUCGUUGGUGGAAAAUUCUGGUCGGUAACAAGGCGAGCAGAUUUAAGCAUCAACAUUUUGGCGCCGUCUGUGGGGAGCUGGAUAAAAAGCUACCACCAACUUAGUAGUUGCCAGAGAAGCGGUAAACAAUCAGACAUGGAUGUGCCCAGGAAAGACGCUCUGAGGGAGGAUAACGAGUCUGGAGAGACAAUCACUCUUAGGGAAAUUGCAAAUGAAGCCCGGGAGAGGGUAAUGCAAGAUCGAUUGGAGCGGAUGGAGAAACAAAUGGAGACUCUCGCGACCAUACUAUUUGAGCUGAGAGACGAGCGGAGAAGGGAUUGCGAAACCCCUGUGGGGAGAGAUGAUGUCGGAGCAGAACCCAGCCUCCGGACGCGUAGAGUCGAGGAGAUCCCUCCGCCGGCGGACCAACCUAAUGGGGUGCAUCCCCACAGAAGUACUGGUCGGAUUCCAGGAGAACAAAUAGAUGAAGGGAGGAACCAACCUCGCCCUGGGCGGGUACUGGAAGCUGAUGGCCGAGGGGCCAGUGUUAAUGAAGGGGAGCUCAGGCAGCGGUUGCAGAAUGCCGAACAGGAGCGAGAUCAAAUAGCUGCACGUGAUCCUGACCGUGCUGUAGAAUUGGAGGGAGAGGUGCGCAGAUUAGCGCAAGUGAUAGAGGAGAUACAGGGUAGGAGAAAGCCCCCGAGCUGGAGGAUAAUGCUAGAUGAAGAAUCUCCACUAUCAGUUGAGAUCAUGGGCACUGUAAUCCCAAGAGAUUUCCGCUUCCCCGACCUCAAAUACUCCGGGCGAAGUGAUCCACUGGUGCAUAUUGAACGUUUUAAUGACGUGACGGGUGUUCAGGGGUUAACACCAGCUCAGAGGUGUAGGGUAUUCCCAUUGACACUAGAGAGACGAGCCCGAGAAUGGUACCACAAACUGUUACGAGGAAGUAUCAGAGGGUACGAGCAGAUGUGCCAAGAAUUGGCCGAACAAUUCCGGGGGGCGGUGGCCCCAGAGGAUGAUAUGAUGGAACUAAUGGGGAUAAAGCAGGAGGAACAAGAACCCCUUCGAGAUUUUGUAAAACGAUACCACCGAGCCGUGCUUGAUUUGGGAGCUUUCAAUCACCCGCAGGCGUUGAGGGGAUUGAAGGAGGGUGUGAGAAUAGGCCGACUGUGGUAUAACCUGAGAAGCCCCCUGGUGCAGAAUUAUUCCGCGGGGUAUGAGCAAGCAAAGAGAGACAUUGAAAUCGAAGAAGAAAAAUCAGCCAGGAUAAAGAGUGAACAAUUGGAGGAGCUGAGACGAAGAGAGAUGAGAGCCCCAAAAGGAGCGGGUCAGGAAAGCAAGCUGGGGAAUCUUCAAUGAUGGGUGCAGUAUCCGCUCGAUCUCGCCUUUAUCCUAUGGCUCAGAGACCGCAGCAGGUCCAACACAAUCGGGCUCAGCCCUCACGCCCCCCAUUCCUGGAACGACAACGAGAAUUUCGGCAGUUGGCUAACCAUCCCUAUCACAACGCUCCCAGAGCACCGCAUACAGCCAACCCCAGAGCGGGACGAUCAGGUCAGCUACCUUCAAUAUCCGCUCGGGAUGAUACUCAUGAUAGCCGAGCAGUCCAGCUGAUUGACCAGAACCCAGCGUACGGACAAUAUACCCCGCUAAAAGUCCCUAUGGAGGAGUUGUAUGAGAGAAUCGAGGGACGAGGCCUGUUGUACCCUCCAGCCCCUAUAACGAAACCUGCUCACCGAAGGGAUAAGAGCAGAUUCUGCAAAUUCCAUGACACUCACGGUCACACCAUCAGCCAAUGUCGUGACUUUAAGAUUCAGGUGGAGGAUUUGGUGAGAAAUCGUUAUUUGGAUGAGUAUGUAGAUGGGGUUUCUCCCGUCAUUGAAUCACAGUACACGCGGGGUGAAGGAGAUGAGAGGAGCCUGGAACGUGAACAGCCAACUAUCCGUGUGAUAGCAGGAGGGCCAACCCUGGCUGGGGAUUCGAAUAGGGCACGGAAGAACUAUGGGAAAUACGCCAUGACCAGCAAAGAAGUUCUUUUCAAUUUGCCAGCAGCCAAGAAGGCAAAAUUGCGGCAAGUUCCCAUUAUGUGGACAGAUGACGAUAAAGAGGGUAUCCUAUAUCCUCAUAAGGAUGCACUGGUGAUUAAGGCAAUGGUGGCUGGUACAGAACUACGACGGAUACUGGUAGACACGGGCAGCUCGGUUGACAUCUUGUUUAAAUCGGCCCUAGAUGAUAUGGGGAUUGCAGACUUAAAAUUGGAACGGACGAACACAUCUUUAAAGGGAUUUGGAGGGGGACGGCUAACUCCCAUAGGAAUCGUCGAACUCCCAAUUACUAUGGGGACAAAGCUGUUUGAAAGAACAAUGAUGUUGGAUUUUGUCGUGGUAGAGGAGAGAAGCCCUUACCAGAUGAUACUGGGGAGACCGUUCAUGAAGAUAAGUCAAUGCGUUGUGUCUACGCAUUAUCUGGCACUAAAAUACAGAAUAAACGGAGCGGUUGGUGUAGUAAAAGGUGACCAGAGGGUGGCAAGGAGUUGUUAUGCUACAGCGGCCAAGGAGACGCUGCAGGUUACUUCCUUAGAUAAUCGAGGAGAACCUAAAAAGGGCCGCCAAGAACCUGUUGAGAAACUGGAGGCAGUUUCGGUAAGCAAAGGCGACCUGAGCAGAGUGGUGAAGAUCGGAUCGGGGUUGGUUGGUGCAGUCAAAGGCGAACUGGUAAAUUGCCUACAGUCUCAUGCAGAUAUAUUUGCCUGGUCUCACGAGGAUAUGCCAGGAAUUGAUCGUGGGGUAGCUUGCCACAAGUUGGCAAUUAAGAAGGGGGCGAGGCCGGUGAGACAGAAGAGGAGAUGCUUUAACCAGGAAAGAUACCCAGACGGACGAGAUGUGAAGAGGUCAUGGAACGCCGAGCACUUAAAGAAGUAUUUUCAGUAAGCAAAGUGCUCUGCUAAAUCCUCAUUUUGAUAAGUUUUCUUUGUUAACUGCAUGAUGGUUUAUUACGCAUGUACAUAGUCUGUAUUUUGUAAUACAUUCAAAUCGCAAUAAAGAUGAAUUCAGCAUGAAACCCUUCUGUUAAGCAAGGCCAUUAUAAUUUAUACCAAGGCAAGUAAGUGCCUGCUUCUGCUCGGUCAACGAAAGACCAGCAGCUAAAUUAGCGAAAUUUCUACCAAGGCAAGUAAGUGUCUGCUUCUGCUCGGUCAACGAAAGACCAGCAGCUAAAUUAGCGAAAUUUCUACCAAGGCAAGUAAGUGCCUGCUUCUGCUCGGUCAACGACAGGCCAGCAGCUAAAUCUACGAAAAUUAUACUAAGGCAAGUAUGUGCCUGCUUUAGUUCGGUCCACGAAAGACCAGCAGCUAAUACUACGAGAAUUCUGCUAGGGCAAAUAAGUGCCUAGUUCUGCUCGGUCAACGAAGACUAGCAACCAAUUUUAUUAAAAUUUUACUAAGACAAGUAAAUGCAUACUCCUGCUCGGUCCACAAAGAAACCAGCAAGCAAAAUCAGAUAAGUUGUCCAAUUAUUUUGCAGAAACCAUCUAUGAGCAAAUACCAGACAAGAAAGUCAAUAGAGAACAUCUAAAAGUUUAUAAAUGUUUGAUUGUCUACAAAAUAGAUGUAAAUCUAAAGUUUACACAGAAAUAGACUUAAAGAUUAGCAGGGUCAACGGCUCCAGCAGCUGAAGAAUCAGCAACCUCAGGAGGCGGGAGAUCGGCAAUACCGGGAGGAGGGGGCAUGGACCCUUGACCCACCUCGAAAGUACGUCCCCCGGCUUCCCCCUCCUGCACCCCCUCCAAAGGAGCCUCCGCCUGAUCCUGAUGACCUUGCUCCUUAUCUGCCUGGCCGGUUUCCGCCAUAUACCGCUGCACUCCAGCCUCCAGCUUACUCAUGUCCAGCUCGGGAUAUUCUUCUUUAAGCACGGACAUGAUACACUUAUAGGAGAAAGCAACCCCAGAGUCAUACUCGGCAUCCAGCUGGUCGUCCACAUCAGCGGAUUUGCCUUUCUCCUCAGCCAGCUGUUCAUUUAGGGAUUUGAUUUCUCCCUCAAGGGCAGUCCUCAGAGUAUCUCUUUCACUUUGAGUUACCUGAAGGUCAGACUUCAGGCUGCCCAACUCACCCUCGAGUUUGGAGGCAGUGGACUCAGCAAUUGCAGUUUUCUCCUCCAGCUCCAUAAUCUGUUUGUUCAGCUCGGCCAGUUUCUCCUUGGAGCGAUCAGCAGAUUCAGCCUUCUUUUUCAACUCCUGAUUAUCAGCUUGAAGCUUCCUCUCAUGGCGUAUGGACACGUUCUUGUAACACGAAACCAUGGUGGCCAGCCUGAAGGAAACCCUUUGAACAGAGGCAGCUAACUCGGAGAGCUCCAUACUCUCGAUGUCCUUCACCAUCUUGGGCCCAACCGACCUCUUGUAAUCCUUUUGGUACGGGCUCAAAUAGUCACCCUGAUCCCGAGAUGGAAGAGGAGAAGAUCGGUCCCCAGAUUGUAAGCUGACCUCAGGGCUCUUGUCGGAAGUUUUCUCCCCACUACUCUUACGAGGUGGAGGAGGGGGCAGAGCAGGAACUGGAGCCUGAGAAGGACUGGCACUGGCCUUUUUCGGAGGAGGAGGAGGGUGGCUGGAGCUGCUCGAUGCCCGACCACGCUUUCUGCUCAUCGCGCUGAGGAUCUUGUUAUCCAUCCCAGCGGCAAUAUCUACUAAGCCCGAACCGACCAGGUUUGUUGGUGACAGGAGGUCUUGACAAGUAGACGCGCUCACCAGAGCCGUUUCCACCUGGAGUAAAGGUCGGUCCUCGAGAGUCUUAACCAAACCCCACGAUUCUGAAAAAACAGACAAGGUUAAAGAACCCAAUAAGUGGCAAUUCGAGAAAGAAUAUAGGCAAAAAAUGAACGACCUGGGGUGACAAAUUGCGUUGGAAGGUAAAUGUCACCACCCAACGACCGAACUGCUGGACACCAAUUUCCCCCAGCAAAGAAGAAUUUGUUCUUCCAAUUUUUGCACGAGGAGGGGAAACCGGUGAUUGGCUUUCUCUUCGCAGAACUGGACAUGAAGUAGUACCAGCCCGCCUCCCUUGGGCUGCUCCGCAGCUGAUACAGAUGCUUCACUUCAACAAGGGAAGGCUCCUCCGACCCACACCUCUCCCACAACACAAACAUAGCCGAGAGAACCCUCCACCUGUUUGGGUGUAGUUGACCUGGGGCCAGGUGCAUACCCCCUAAAAUCUUGGCAAAAUAGCGCUGAAGAGGCAGCCGAGCUCCUAAUUUAAAGCUCUCCAGGUGCAUGGUCACGUACUCCCGCGGAGGCCGACUAGGAACAUCACCUUUCUCAGGAACCACAAGGAGAACCUCCUUAGGAAUAUCAUAGAGGUUCCUAAGCUUGAACAGAUCAUUUUGGGUGGUGGCACAGGCUAUGUGAUCAAUGGGGUAAGAAUCUGCCUCCAUCCUAUGCCCAAGGUUUUGUUUCUUAAGAGGUCGGCUCGGCUCGGCUCGGAGCUGCUUCCCUCACUAUCACCCGCUCCUUCAGGAACCCCGACCCCACCAGAACUGUGGUUCUCGCCAGAGCCCGACGCAGGUCCCCCUCUAUUUCCUACAAGCUCUAAUUCAGAGGAGGGUGAAAUGGUCAAGGGACGUGGGUACUCAAGGAUAUCCCUACUAUGGGAUAAGCCUACACUACGAGAGGGAUUCAAAAAAUCAGUGGGUAUGGGCAAGUUAAGGUCUGAAUCCCCAGAUUCUUCAUCACCCUCGUCUGCAAUCAACUUCCUUCUUCGAUUUGACAUACCGGAGUUCCAAAAGAAAACCAAAACAAACCCAAGUACACGAAUACAAAAAGAGACAGUACAGAACCCAAUCAACAACAGCCAAAAAAGAGGUUAAAGGCUAUACCUGGAAUGGACUAACAUUGGUAGCACUGCCGUGACAGAGAAAACACCCAGCAAAUGGAUACUCCGGACGCUGGAAAUGGGAGCAAAGUCCAGAAAAGAAAUUGGUUAGUGACGGAGAAACGAAUCGCAGAAUGAUGAUGAUUUUAGUCUAGGGAUUUGGAACGAAAAGGGGGGAAACGGAAGCAUUUAAGUGAUGGGAUAUGCCAGCUCACUCACCAUAUAUCGAGGAAGGAUAGCCCGUCGUUUCAAAUUUCAAAAUAUGAAGAGUCGGGAAGCGCCACGUCACUAACCGAUACAAGAGGCCAGACUAGAGCAAGCCCAGAUAUGCAAUGGACAGGCUCAUUAAGGCCCAUGCUCAGAAGACCAGAUGAGAAGCCCCGGGCUGGUCGGCUUCAACCAUCAGUUUCUACUCUUAACUCAUUUCACUCGCAAGACCAGAAACUGGGGGACUGGUGUUAAGUAAGUAAAAGCACCAGGUCGGCCGUGCUACUAUUUCCGCCCCGGUAUGGCUCACCUCAAUCGAAUGGUACAAGCAGAGCAUGGAGACGAAUAUGGCCCGACCAGAGAUGAGUACCGACCAGAGGUGUAUGCCGAGCCGAUACCCGUCUCCUGAAAAAGCGGGAACACGAUCCCACAGAAUCGCGGGAUUUGCGUUUUUCCCAGAACCGUUGCGAGAGAUGCGAUACCUCACGUUUACCCGUAAUGUAGCAGUUAAAGUUCCGUGAAAGGCCACCACCUGAAAAAGGAGGGAUGAAGACUGAGCGGGAACGUGGGAUAACGGCUAUAAAAGAAGGAGAAAUCGAUGAAGAAGGGGACAGAAAAAUCAAAAGAGGGAAAACGCUGCCAAAUUAUUGUCAGGCUAUCUUCUUGAAAAUUCCAGAUAAAUCAAAAACUACUCUUGAAUCUAAAUUGCUCUGUUUUCCCGUAAAUACCUUGACCUAACUUAGGCAUCGAAGGGUUUACGCCGGCAAAACCACCGGCGUCUUUGAUCCGUUCUUUUGUGAGCGUAGGUCUAGAAAGAGAAAGGAGGACGAGUCCAAGCCCCGCGGUUCGAACUUGAUAACAUAAUCGUUGGUGGAAAAUUCUGAUCGGUAACAAGGCGAGCAAAUUUAAGCAUCAACAAAAUGAAAAUAAAAAUUCAUUACGAAUACGUGUUAAAGAUAUCCCAAGUAUAGAUGUGACUGAAAUAUUUGAGAUUGAAGAAGAAUUAAGACUCAAAAUCAAUUGGGAGGAAUAAAUGAGAAACCCCAAUACCAAAAAAUACACGCACAAAUCCUAAUACUAAUUGUAAUCACGGAUAAAAAGCAUAAUACGAAUAAAUUAAAUGGGCAACUAUUCCAUUGAGAAAUUAAUUAAAUCGUGUAUUAAUAUUUUGUAUACAUAUAUUUUUCUAUAUAUAACUUUCGGUAAUUUAAUUUUCCACUUAUCAUUUUUACUCCAAAAAAAUAAUUGAGAAUAUUAUUUAUAUUUUGGUGCAAAAUAUUUGAACAAUAUACAAAUUUUCAGUUUAAUAAAUCUAAACAUCUAUUAAGUUAUAAAUGAAUUUAAUGGGUUUAAUUAAUAAAAUUACUAUUAUUAUAUAAAUUGGGUUUAGUAAUGGUAUAUUGGGUGGGUUUGUUGAGUAAAUUUUAAAAUUUUGAAAUUUAAGGAUGGGUUUAUUUAGUAAAUGAGUUAAGGGAGUAGUUUGUUGGGAUUCACAUAGCCCCACCAAAUUCAAAUGUAAAAUUUGUGGAAAAAGAAGCUAUUGAGUUAUUCUUUUAAAAAAAGAAUUAAAAUGUCAAGAAUACCUUUAUUUAAUUUUAUAAUCUUAUUUUAUAGUCAUAUUUUAUUUCCACCUUAACAUAAUUUUAAAAACCUUAACUAAUAAAUUCUAUAUUUUUUUUAUAAAAGUUAUCAUUAAUAUCCAAACGGCUAAAGAUUUUUUUUUUUUUAAAAAAAAAGGAACUAUGCUUACAAAAGUUGUAUACAUUAACAAUAAAUUUAGUCCAAAGAAUAAAGUUAUUCCAAACAAGCACUCCAAUUCAUCUUGCUAAUGAAUCAAGAUGACUGAAUCCUUCUCUAAGCCAAAUCUAUUUUCACUUUUAGGUCAGAAAUUGUCAUUAAAAAAAUGUUUGAUAAAAUAUGCUCUAGGAACACUAAUUCGUCAGAUGGUUACUCCAAGUUUAUGAAAUCAAUGGGAUUUCAUCAUAUUCAUAACAUUCUUCUUUAAUGUCUAUUCUAACAAAGAAAUCAUAUACAGAGAAUAGGUUUCGUUAAAACUUUUACUAGAAAAACUAACCACAAUUCACCAUUCAUUUAUAUCUUAAGUAAGCCUAAGAUUUUAUCAUUAAAAUCCCAUCAUGAAAAAAACUCAUGGGAGAAAAACUAUAAAAAUUGAAGAAAAAAGAGUAUGGCGUGCAUGUAAAUUAUAUCGAUUUUAUCUACAUGACAAAUAAGACUCUCUUUUACAAUGGCACGGAUGCUUCAUUGAGUAAUCAUGAUUCUUGCUGGUAGUGCUUUGUUGUAUCAAUCUGCUAGCUAUUCAGCGUUCUUUCUUUCUUUCUUCUUAUUUUUUUGUUUUCAAAUAGCUUGUGGUUGUAGAAAUAUUUCAAUUAAACUAUACUUAAGUACUUAUUUGGUAUAACUUCUUUACUAACCAAAAGAAUUUUUUUUUUUGGUUUUUUAUAAUUUAAUUAUACUUUAACUAGAGUUUUUGGGAUAAAACAAGUGAUAAUUUCUCUCUAUUAAGAAAAACUCAAAGGGUAGGGCUAUCUCAAUCCACCAAACUAUUUAUUAAAAAUCCACUUAUGAAAAUAAUUUUUAAUUAUUAGAAUGCCUUUACAUUAAAUUAUAAUUAUGGACACUAAAAUAUAAUAAAUUUUUUUUUUACUCUUUAAAACUGUCUUUACAUUUGAUAUCAUAUCUUUUUCUUAAAAUCUAAAUUGAUAUUUUUAUUUUAUUUUUUAUUAAUCUUAGAACACAUAUAAAGUGAUUCAUAUUGAUUUUAUACUAACAAACUAUCACAGCACAUUCGAAAAUAAUUAACUCGUUCUUAUUUGCAUAGUGAAAAGGCAAAUAGCUCAUCCAAAUGUUAAAGAACUGGAGAGCUGCUGCUGGAGAUGAAAGAUAAAUAAUUCUCACUUAGAAGAAGGAGAAAAAAAGGAAAUACAAUUAGAAUGAGAGGUAGCCAGUAGCCACUAGCCGCCACCACCACCAGUGAAACUAUUUCACAUAAUAGAAGAUAAAGCACGCGUAAUGGAGGCAAAAAGCAAGUAAUGAUAACUCUUUUCGACACACUAAUACAUAUCAAAAUGCAAUAUCGGUCCUAACAAAAUGAAAAUAAAAAUUCAUUACGAAUAUGUGUUAAAGAUAUCCCAAGUAUUGAUGUGAUUGAAAUAUUUGAGAUUGAAGUAGAAAUAAGACUCAAAAUUAAUUGAGAGGAAUAAAUGAGAAACCCAAAUAUUAAUAAAAUACACGUGCAAAUCCUAAUGCUAAUUAAAAUCACGGAUUAAAAAUAAUAAUAAUAUGAAUGAAUUACAGGCGCAACUGUUUCAUUAAGAAAUUAAUUAAAUCGUGUAUUAAUAUUUUGUACACAUACAUUUUUCCAUAUAUAACUUUCGGUAAUUUAGUUUUCACUUAUCAUCUUUACUCCAAAAAAAAAAUUGAGAAUAUUAUUUAUGUUUUGGUGUAAAAUAUUUGAAUAAUAUACAAAUUUUCUGUUUAAUAAAUCUAAACAUUUCUCCAGUUAUAAAUGAAUUUAAUAGGUUUAAUUAGUAAAAAUAUUAUUAUUAUAUAAAUUGGGUUUGGUAAUGGUAUAUUGGGUAUUUAAAUGGGUUUGUUGAGUAAAUUUUAAAAUUUUAAAAUUCAAGGGUGGGUUUAUUUUAGUAAAUGGGUUAAGGCAGCAAUUUCCCAAACUAAAAUUUUUAGAAAAAGACGCUAUUGAGUUUUUUUUUUUUUUAAAAAAAGAAUUAAAAUGUUGAGAAUACCUUUAUUUAAUUUUAUAAUCUUAUUUUAAAAAAUUUACCCAAUAAAUUUUAUAAUUUUUAUAAAAAUUAUCAUUAACAUCCAAACAGCUAAAGAUUAAAAAAAAAAAAAAAGAAGAAGGGAACUGUACGAGCAAAAGUUACAUUAACAAUAAAUUUAGUCCAAAGAAUAAAGUUACAGCUAAAAAGUGCUCCUAUCCUAUUUUUCUCUAUUUUAACAAUAAUCUUCUUCCAAUCCGUUUUACAAUGGACUUUAACAAAUGGGCUCAAUCUCUAAACUUCAUUUUCUUUUGCUUACCCAUGGCCAUUAGCCAGAAAGCCUAAAACAAGACCAGCCCAUAUAUAUAAUUUUUUUUAAAAAAAAGUAAAAAUGUGUGAGAGCUUGUAGCAUUACAAUUUUAGGAUCACAUGUGUAAAUGGAACCCCAACAUUGAUCAAGAAUUAACAAGACAAGAUGAAGAGAUGAUCUUGUAACUAAGAAUGAAGAAAUUGAAUCAAGACAGUACUCUAGUAAAACCCAGAAAACAGAGCUUGAAGAAUCACGCACAAAGCAGUAAAUUUGUAAAACCAGAAUUGGAGCUUCACUUCUCAAGAGAGACGAAACAGGAUACAGUCUAGCUUUAGCCAAAGUGAUAAACUCGUAAUUAUUCUACAAAGGGAACAAUUUUGAACAGUGGGAAAUUCCAUAAUUAUUCUUUUCGGUGAAUUAUUUUAAAUAAAAUUAUAAAAACCAAUAUAAAAUUAUUACCCAGUAAAGACUUUAGAGAGACAAGUGCUCCCAACAGGAUCAAGUGAAUAUGCCCCACAAAGAUCAUUUCUUGUUCUUUUUCUUUUUGACAAUUUUAUCUGUGGUUUCAACUUUUAUGCUUUAUUGUCGUAUCCCGUUGAGGGCUCCGCUGCACCCAUUACAACUUACCCCUAAAUUGCCUCUUACUAACUAAACCGUUAGAUUUUAUGGAAGCACGUUCAAUGCUGAAUUUUAAUUAUGUCAUCAAAUUUCGUUUAGCUCCUUAAACUCCAUUUUAUUUGUAAUUUCUUCAUAAAAUAUUCAAAGCUUCAUCAAGCUCCUGAUGGACCAUCAUGGCUAGGGGUGCAUUAGAGCCGAACUGAAAUAUGUUAGUUCAGUUCAGUUUGGUCAGUUUAAAUCGAAUGGUUUAGAAUAUAUAAACUGAUCAAUUUUAAUUUUUAAUUGAACCGAAAAUCAAUUGGUUCAUUAUUAGUAUUUUUUUAUAAACAUGAAUUAUUAGUGAUUGUAAUUAAAUUGGACUAAAAAAAAUUCAAACUAAGGUGAAAAAUAUAAAAUCUUAGACAAUAUAAAAGAAAAAAUAUUAAAUUUUUUUAACCGAAUUAUUUUGACUCAAUUUGGUUCAUAAUUUUUUAAACCAAAUGGAACCCUCAUAACAAAAAACUAACAGAAACAAUAAGAACACGAUGUUAAAAUCUUAAAUCAAUCGCAAAAAAGCACCCAAAACAGAUCGAUUAGGAACAGUUAACAACAAAAGAUUUGAUGGUUCAAAAUCAUAAUGUGACCUACUUCCAUCCAAGAAUUAUACUAAUUUCUUUACUAGUUGUCAAAUACAAGAUCACAAGAUUAUUUAUCACUCUAUAGAGAAAAAAUUUUUAGAAGAAAUACUCCCCAAUUUUUCUCUUGAUAGUUAUGAAUCAACACCCCUAGAAAGGCUAUUGAUUUACUUUUCCUUAUUUCAUAUGAUCGGUUGCUGCAACUUAAUCCUUGCCAAGUUCCAACAUAGUCCAAACAUUUUUCAUGGUACAUGCAUAGUGCACCUUCAGAAACUUUACAGCUCUUCUUAAAACCUCAGUUCUCGUGAUGUUUCUGAUUUAUUUCUGGGACGAGUAACACUUUUGUUGAACCUAGACCAGAUUUAGUAUCCAAUCAAGAAUUUCCAGGAUCUAGCUGAACUCUCUAAUCAAGACCUAAAGAAUAGUUAAUCAAAUCCACACAAAAGAAUCACCCAAAAACAGUAUACAAAGAACAACAAAUAUAAGUGGUUUUGAGAUAAAUGUAAUUGACUUCUGAGCAUGACUUAAUUUUGAGAUCAUUACUUUUAGUUAAAUGAUCUCCUCCAGAGCUUCUACCUAUGUAGUGUUUUUAGACCUCUAUAGUUGAUAAAGCACGUUCAAGGUGAAGGCUUGUUUUCCAAUCUAUAGUCCAAUUAUAGACUGGAAAUGGUCAGGCUUAAUGCACCUUCAAAAGCUUCACAAUUUGUAUUGAAACCUUAAGCCUCAGAAUGCUACAAAUUUUAAAUCCAUAUACUUAGUGCUCUUAUGAUUUGUUUGAUUUUUACUUAGAUGAAGAGCAUUUUAGCUAUAGAAAACAUUGUAACUAAUUCAAAGCAUGCCUUAGCUACGAGAUCAUUCAUUCUAGCCAAAUGCCCCCUUUAGAGAUUCUGCUAUUGUUGUGUAUUCAGCCUCUAUAUUUGGCAAAGCAAUUACAUGUCGAAGGCUUGCUUUCCAGUUAACAGCGCAAUUACAUAGAUUAAAGGUGUAACCAGGCAAAGAACUUAGUUAUUCUGCCAAGGUCUCCAACAUACUCCAAAUCCAUAUAACCACCAGACUUCAAUCUUUAGACUCCAUAGAUCAAACCAUAACUUAGUGUGCCUUUCAAUCUCAGGUAACAUUUUACUGUUUUCCACGUCUUGCCAUGUACUUGCUGCUAACACUAACAAUUUGAGAAAUGUUAGGCAUCGUAAGCAGCCGACAACACUCUUCUUCAUUUCUUCAUUGUCAAUUUCCUUCUUGGAACAUUGCUCCAUUGAGAGUCUGCUAUCAUUGCUCCAAUUAUUAUUAUUUUUGUUUUUUUAAAAAAAAAAAUUAACCGUGCAAUAAGAGUAUAAGACUAAGCAACGGUCCUUUUUUUUUUCCCAUUCUUGAACAUGAAGUAUUUGAGUAUGCAAUAAAAAUUGUUUAUUGAUAAUUAAAAGUUAAUAGUGGGUGGCUUUAGGAUUUGUUUACAAAAUUGACAACAAAUUAAGAUUUUUCAAAUUCAUAGGUAAGAAACUUUUCAUUUAUUCAUAGAUUUUCCGGUUUAAACUUUAAAGGAAACUUAAAAGAAAAAGAUGUAUCAUUAGAUUUGUAAUUAAAAAAAUUUAAUAUUGUAUGAUCUGUUCGAUAUGCAUAAUUUAAAUAAACAUUAAUAUAGAUGUUAUAUAUCCUAAAACUUAAUUGACUUAAUUCUUACGGUGCAAGGAAGACGUUUCCAAGUUUAAAUCUAAUUUGGGGUCGGGAAAGCACUGGGAAAUAAAUGUAACAAAGGAAAAAAGAAAAGAAUGACAGUCUGAGUGGAGCCAACACGGUUUUGAAAAAAGUGCAAAAAAGGGUUUUAGGAUAUAUUCUAUUAUCGUUUGUUUGCUUGCUUGUGGAAAUAAAAGUCUCAUGUUUCUUUGAAAGGUAAGCAAGUGUGAAUGUUUCUAUCUAGAGCUGGAAAAUGCAUUUCCGUGCAACUUACUUGAUGAAUGAAGUUUUCAUCUCUGACCUUGAUGUUUCCCAGAGCUGCAUUCAUUUCAGCUGAUCUAUUUCAUUUCGUUUGCAAAGGAGUGACACAAAACCUCCUUUGUUAAGGGGAGAAUUUAGAGUGGCUUCAACGGUUAACAAAUAGCCUAAUGUAAGACUUAAUCAAUUUCCUGCCCGGUUGCUUACCACUACUUAUCACUUUAACGUAUGAAACCUAAUCAAGAUUCCUUUGAUGAUUUUUCUAUUUGCUAAUUGAUUGAUAAGCUCUUCAGUGAAGAUAUAGUGUCCGCAAGCCAUAUGUUGAUAGAGUUAGAGUUUGCAGAAGCUACUGUACCAUAUGUUGUUAGAGGCGGUAAAAACGGAGGCAGAUCAACACACAUUUAAAUUUCAAUGACAAUUUACUGGAAAUAAAUUUCCUAUGACCCUACAUGUGACUAAUUGAUGAGAACUUGACAAUGACAAAAGAAAGUGUAUGAGCUUUGCAGGCUGGCUUGCCAAUAUUGACUGUAUGGCACCAUCCGCAAGUAAGUAUCAUUACUGUUUAAUCAACUUGGUGGAGUCCACUGGGACCACCCCACAUGGUCAGUCUUAUCUCUACUCCUAAAUUUUCAAUAUUCCAUACAUCAAACCAAUUGCAGUUUUGAUAUCAAAUUCAAUUUUAUUGUUGGUGACGAUUCUGAUUCCUUUCAUUCUCACAAAACGGAACCAUGGUUGCUGUUGGAGAGAUCUUACUCAACGCCUUCCUUGAGGUGUUGUUUGACAGGUUGGCUUCUCGUAAUUUGCUCCGCUUUGUGCGUCAACUCCAAGGCGGGGUUGAUUCGGAGCUCAAGAAGUGGGAGAAAAAGCUGAAGAUGAUUCAGGCUGUGCUCUGCGAUGCAGAGGAGAAGCAACUGACCGAUGAGGCUGUGAAGAUGUGGCUGGACGAACUCCAAGACUUAGCUUUUGACGCUGAGGACAUUCUUGAUGAGUUUGCUACUCAAGCUUUGGAAAGCAAGUUGAUGGCGCAAAACCAGGAUAGCUCUGGCCAGGUUCUCAGUCUCAUCCCGGCUAGUUUGAAUCCGAAUGCUAUUAUGUUCAAUUAUAGCAUGGGGUCCAAGAUUAAAGAUAUGACUAGCCGGCUGGAGCAACUCUGCCAAGAAAGAAUUGAACUUGGACUGCAACGGCUUACUGGAGGGGCGUCAUCAACCGCUGCUGCUGCACACCGGAGGCCACCCAGUUCGAGUGUCCGAACAGAACGUGAAGUAUUUGGAAGAGAAGAAGAUAAGGCCAAAAUUCUUGAUAUGGUCAAUACCCCAAGUGAUCACGCCAACUUUGUUGUAAUACCUAUUGUUGGAAUGGGCGGGAUAGGAAAAACAACUCUUGCUCGGGAGGUCUACAAUGACAAGGCAGUUGAGGAUUCCAAGUUUGACGUAAAAGCAUGGGUUUGUGUCUCCGACAACUUUGAUGUUUUCAACAUUUCAAAGGCACUUCUCGAGUCAAUCACCUCCGCAGCUAGUGAUCUCAAGACUUUAAAUGAAGUGCAGGUUCAACUGAAAAAAGCAGUGGACGGAAAAAGAUUCUUGCUGGUCUUAGAUGAUGUUUGGAACGAGGACUACAGCUUGUGGGUAGACUUAAAAGCUCCGUUCCUGGGUGCUGCACCAAACAGUAAGAUGAUCGUCACCACACGCAAUUUAAACGUUGCAUCAACAAUGGGACCAAUUGAACAUUAUAAUCUCAAGAGUCUGUUAGAUGAUGAUUGCUGGUCCAUUUUCAUACAGCAUGCAUUUGAAGGUAGAGAUCUUAACGCAUAUCAAAUUUCAGAAUCAUUCAGCAAGAAAGUUGUUGGCAAGUGUGGGGGCUUGCCUCUGGCAGCAAAAACGCUCGGGGACUUCUGCGCACAACAAGGCAUGAUGCGUGGGACGAUAUAUUGGAUAGCAAAAUAUGGGAUUUACAUCAACAAAGCAGCAUUCUCCCUGUGUUAAGAUUGAGUUACCAUCAUCUUCCGUCUCAUUUGAAAAGAUGUUUUGCUUUUUGUGCCAUCUUUCCAAAAGAUUAUGCAUUCACUGAGAGGGAGCUGACUUUCUUAUGGAUGGCUGGAGGUAUUAUUCGACAGUCAAGAAACAAUGAGCAGCUGGAAGAUUUGGGCAGCAAGUGCUUUGGUGAUCUAGUGUCGAGGUCAAUUUUUCAGCAAACAGCAAGCUCUGAUAGUUCUAAAUUUGUAAUGCAUGACCUUAUUCAUGAUCUUGCUGAAUUGGUCUCUGGAGAAACCAUAUUCAGGUUAGAGGAGGCCAAUACUCGGUCAAGAAGAUUUGAAAGGGUUCGCCAUUCUUCCUAUGCUUGUGGUGGAUGUGAUGGUAAAAAUAUGUUCGUGGUUUUCAAUGAAAUUGAACAUCUACGAACAUUCUUGCCAUUACGCUUACGCAGAAGAGGUGGCUCUAAUGCUGGUUACAUAACUCGUACGGUUCUAUCUGAUUUGCUGCCGAAGUUCAAAAGGUUGAGAAUGCUAUCUUUACAAGGAUACUGUAUUGGUGAGUUACCAAUUCCAUUUGAAGAUUUGAGACUUUUAAGGUUUCUCAACCUUGCUGACACUGACAUAAGAAGUUUACCCGAGUCAACAUGCAAAUUGCUGAACUUGGAAAUUUUUAUAUUAAGAAAUUGUUCCCGUUUGAUAAAGCUUCCACCCAAAAUGAGGAAUUUGAUCAAUUUACGCCAUUUGGAUUUAAGAGGUGCGAAGUUGCUGAAGGAGAUGCCAUUCGGAAUGAAAGAGUUGAAGAAGCUUCAAACAUUGUCCAAUUUCAUCGUGGGCAAGGGCGAAACUGCAUCUGGUUUGGAAGAUUUAAAAUGUUUAAACUUUCUUUGUGAUGAACUCUGCAUUGCUGGAUUAGAGAAUGUGAAUGGUCCACAGAAUGCAAGAGAAGCCGCAUUAUGUGAGAAGCACAAUCUUGAAGCAUUGACUCUAGAAUGGGGGUCUCAAUCUGACGGUCCUCGGGAUGCAGUACUAGAAGAGAAGGUACUUGACACUCUACAACCUCAUGAAUGUAUAAAAGAGCUGGCAAUCAGGCACUAUGGUGGUGCAAGAUUUCCACCUUGGAUCGGACAGCAUUCGUUCUCCGAGAUGAAGGUCCUUAAAUUGGAGAACUGUGGCAAUUGUGUAUCUCUGCCAUCGCUUGGCCUGAUGAGUUCACUUAAGCACCUUGCUGUUAAAGGGCUGAAGAAAUUAAAAAGCCUAGAGUCUGAGGUUUAUGGGGAGGGUUUCUCAAUGCCUUUUUCGUCACUGGAGAUUCUAAGUUUUGAGAAUUUGCCAGAAUGCGAGCAUUGGGACACCAAUAUCAAAGGAAAUGUGCUUGUUGAAAUAUUUCCUCGUCUCCAUAAACUUUCCAUUGUGGAAUGUCCCAAACUCUCCGGAAAACUGCCUGAGCUCCUGCCCUCCUUGAAGACACUUGUUGUUAGUAAAUGUGAAAAGUUGGUAGUUCCAUUGUCUUGCUAUCCAAUGCUUUGCAGAUUAGAAGUUGAUGAGUGCAAAGAACUAGUCUGCCGGACUCCGAUUGAUUUUAAGUUGAUAAAGUCGGUGACUAUUUCAAAUAGUUCAUUAGACAUGAAUGGACGCAAGGGGAUGCUAUACGAUGGUCCAGCUGGCUCUUUACUGCCAAAGCCCAUGACUACUACAAAUGUUUUGGAGUUUGGAAAAUUAUUGAAGCCUGGAUUUCAGAUAUUAGAAACUUUGGUAAUUGGCAAUUCUGAACAGCUCAAGUCAUGGAGGCAGCAUGGGGAUUUUCCGAAAAAAUACAUGGUCACUGACCAUGGGUUUAAGAAACCAGUACGAGGGCUGAAUAUGCUCGCUUCCCCUGAGGAGGUAUCAAUUGAAGAAAGUUGCGUACGUCUUGUUUUGUUUCCAGAGAUCAAUUUCUUUCCCAGAAAUCUGCGCUCUCUUCUAAUUAACAACAGCACUGCUUUGAAAUCCUUACCCGAGGAAAUGAUGGAAAACAAUUCACAACUCGAAAGGUUGUAUAUCAAGGAUUGCGACUCUCUAACAUUCAUCGCAAGACGGAGGCUACCAGCAUCUCUGAAAAGGCUUGAGAUAGAAAAUUGUGAGAAAUUGCAACGUCUGUUCGAUGAUGAAGAGGAUGCUUCUUCUUCUUGUCCUUCAUCCUCGUCUUCCCCAGUGAUGCUGAAACACCUGAGAAUCGAUAACUGCCCAGAGCUCACCAGUUUAUCAUCGGGUGUCCAAUUCCUUGAGGCGCUUGAAGACCUCAAGAUAGGGCAUUGUCCAAAGCUGGAGUCAAUACCGGAUGGCCUGCCCAAUCUUAAAUGUUUACAGAGCAUUUAUAUACGGGAUUGUCCAAGUCUUGUUUCCUUCCCAGAAAGAGGGCUUCCCCACACCAUUUCAGGGGUUUUCAUUGCGAGUUGUGUGAAGCUCGAAGCCUUGCCCAAUGAUUUGCACAAACUCAACUCUCUUCGAGGUUUAAGCAUACAGCUCUGUCCAAAUCUUGUAUCGUUUCCAGAAGAAGGUUUUCCUACCAAUCUAACAACCCUUGUAAUUGAAAAAUUCAAAUUGUAUAAGACACUCGUCCAGUGGGGGUUGCACAGGCUUACCUCUCUUAGAGACCUCUACAUCAUUGGAUGUGAUGAUGAAGCAGAGUGUUUUCCAGACGAGGAGAUAGGAAUGACGCUGCCCACCUCUCUCACUCAUCUGUCCUUUUGUGGAUUCCAAAAUUUGAUAUUUCUGUCUUCAAUGGGUUUUCAAAACCUCACCUCUCUUCAAUCAUUCCCAGAGGUGGGCUUUCCAUCCUCACUUUGGGGCUUAGACAUUAGAUAUUGUCCAAAGCUCAAAACAGCGUGCAAAAGAGAUGAAGGAAAAGAGUGGUCCAAAAUUGCUCACAUCCCUCGCGUUGAGAUAGACGGUAAAUUCAUAUACGAUCCAGAAGCAGAGGAGUAGAUUCUACUAUUAAGGUCAGUUGAUUUGUAUUAUCCGCUAUAACAAGCUCCUCCUUUUUUAUUUUUUUUUUUGAAAUAAUAAUUUUGCAGUCACUCACGUGAUUCCGUUUUCACAAGUCAGAUUGUACGUUGAGGCUAUUUGCCUUUUAAUCGCAGAUUAAAUUAUAACACUUAUCUUAAAAUUUAAUACCAUAGACAGAUAGACGAUUUUUUAAUCCAAAGUUUUUUUUAUUCACUUCAGUUAGCAUUUUUUUUUUCCCCAAAUCAUGCAAGCCGAGAGUUUCAAUCAAGAAUUGGAGGAUGUGAAUGGGAAUUUUGUGAAAGAGUAACAUAAUGGAUGAACGAACAUUUCAUAUGUGAUCUCAAAGUCAACAGAAUUUUAUUCACUCGUUGACUUUUCAACUGCUGUGGUUAUUUAUGGGUGAAAGAUAAGGGCAAUUACAAAAAAUUUGCAAAAUUUGUCCAUUUCUUAGAUGGUAGAAAUUGGAGUAUAAUAUUUUGGAGCAAGCAUACUUGAAAUUUCUUUCUUCAAUAUUUUGAUGCUUUCUUAUCCCAUGCACAAAAAUACUAGAAAAAACUAAUAACAACUAACCGAAAAUCCCAGGCGUCAUAUUCCUUUUUACCGCGUUUUAAAAUGCACAACAAUGAUAUUCUUACAAAUUUGCAAAAUUUGUCAAUUUCUUAGAUUUCAGAUAUUUUAAUGCUUUUUUUAAUUUUUGAUCUAGUAAAAAUACAUAGCCUUCACCGGCAAGAUUCUAGUCUUGGAUUUCACCUCUCUAACUCAUCUGUUCCCAUUGGGAUUCCAGAAAUUGAAAUUUCUGUCUUCAAUGGGUUUUCAAAGCCUCGCCUCUCUUCGAUUUUUGUGGAUCGGGAAUUGCACAAAUCUCACAUCAUUUCCCGAGGUCGAGGAAAAGAGCGGCCCAAACUUGCUCGCAUCCCUUAUUAGGUUAUGAUAGAUGGAAAAUUCAUAUACGAUCCAGAGUCAGAGGUGUUGAUUCUCUUAUUAAGGUCAGCUGAUUUCUAUUAUCCACUCUGACAAUCUCCUAUUAGUGUUUUUCCUUUUGAAAUUUUUUUUCCAAAAUUUUGCAGUUCCGUAUAAUUGAAAAUGCCAUUCAGUUGUUUCCUAAUAGUAUGUUGAGGCUAUUUGCUUUCUAUCGGUGUUUGUUAAGGUAAUUAGUGCUCCCUCGUAGGUGUGACUGGAUUUUUUUCACUUCCGUAAAUAUUGCAUUUUAGACUGGCAAAUUUAGCAGUAAUUUUAAUACAAUUUUGUUGGUGCCUUGUGUUCCAGAAGCUAGAAAAAUGUGUAGUUUUCAGAUAAGGAGGCUUGUCAGUUCUCUAGUAAGAAUCCAAUGAUUUGCUUUUGCACGUCCAUCUAAUUUGUGGAUCCUUGCAUCAGAAUUUGAUCAAUCCAAAAGGAAUUGCUUUUAGACAGAAGAAGAAUAGCAGCACCUAGCCUACCCGCAAACCUGAAACUAUUAGAUUGAGGUAAAAAAAUCAUUGACCCUCACAUGUUAACUUCUUCUAGUUACUUUCGUUGGGAAAAAAAAAAACAUUUAAGGAAUUUGCAAUUUGUUGUUAGUUAUGGUAUCUGAUGUUCUUUUCUGCUUUAGCGUUUGUAGAAUCUACUGUAUUAUGUGUUGGCAGUUGCCGUAUCUAAGGUAACUUGCCUUUAUUUGUUUGCUUCUGACUUAAGGACACCAACAUUUGCCAGAGAUUUAGAGAAUCAUCUCAAAACACUUAGCAAACUUGACAAACUUCAAGAUGCACUUGCCCCCACGCCUUAUUCUCAACAACGCAAAACUUGUGAGUACACCUAUGCCUGCAAUUAUUGUGAAGUGUUCGCAAUUCUGAUGCAGAGAAAUGGUUUCUUGAUGCAAAGUAUUAAACUGUUAAGAUUUAUCCUGCAGGCUUGUUAGAUGCUGGAUACGCGAAAAGCCAACAACAUCAAGAACUGCAACUCCAAGACCAGCUUUGCGUUAAUUCAGUCAGCUGUAAUAAUGAUGCAAAUGACACUAUAUCAAGCUGGACUUAGAGACUAGUCAGAUAAAUCAUCCAUUUCAUCAACGGUUAAUGUCAUGAUGGUGGCUAUCAGAGGAAACAAAAGAUGUGUCGGAAUCUAUACAAACAUUGAGAAGCAUGAGAGGAGCUUUGAUUUUGAGUAGGGUCAAUGAACUCAUAUUGGUAAGUGGUAAUUAAAGAAACUUUGUAAGCUUAGUAGAGUUUCAGUAUUUUCUGUUUGGAGUAUAGUUGAUAAGUUGACUCUGUUUAAGAAGCCCGAUUAUAGUAGCUGACUGUAUUAACCUUUUUUUUUUUUUUUUGGGUCUGCUGUUGUUUUUGGUUUCGAUUAUUUUUUCAACAUUGGGUUGAUCUGUUGAAGAACAAGCUUGGGUUUGAUUAUGCUUUAACUACAAGGAAGAGCCAGACUUGGAUGCAGGCGUUAAGCUUUUAAUGGGUAAGAACAAAUGAAUGCUUUAACUAUGUUUCUCACUUAUUAAAAUGCACGGAUUGAAGGCAUCUGGGUUGAUCCUGACAAUGUGAUGGAAAUACUUCUCUGUUUUCAUAUAACAGGACAAAUAGAGAUCUCUGAUCAUGCCUGAAUUUUUGUUGCAUUGAAAUUUCUACCAUUAUCAAACAUAGAAUGAACUAGGGAUACAUUAGCUUAAGACUAAAUUUUGAGAAGGAAGUUUGUACUUGCAGCCUAUAAAAUCAUGUCCAUGUUGUACGUUUCUUUGGGAAAUGAAAGAUUCUGUGUGUUCUUUUAUUUCAAGUUCACUGAAAUCACAUUUGUUUUCUCAGCUGCUUUCCAGAAGGUAACAACAUCAAUUUCAAAAAUGCUGGGGCAAGAUGUAUCAUGCAGUGCAACUCAACUUGAGAAUUCCUGGCCACAUUACCCGUAUGUCUAAUGAUCGCACAGUACAACCUUGAGAAGCUUGUAAUGAGUACACAACUGGGUGCAAGUAGUUUUGAAAUGAAUUUGCCUCAAAUGAUUUCUUGCCGGUGAUUAAUAUAACCUCUAUUCCAAAAUUCUUGGAACUGGUCAUACUAGCAAUGAAGGAUUGCAUACAUUGAAGACAUAGCUGAAGGCCUUGCGAGAGCUCUGUCAGCCCUUGUACCGGAAAACAGCUGGUCGUAGUCGCUUGUGAAUGAUAUGAUUAAUAGAUACUGCAAAAAUGAAUUGUGCCAUACAUUUUCAGCGCUCUGUGAAGAUGUCUUGGUCAUUUGUUUGAUGCUUGUUUGAUUUAUGUUGUAUUCAGCCAUAAAUCAGAGAUUCAGAACUUGGGUAUGUUUCUGGUUUCCAAAUCAAAAAAUUGCCUUGUGAUGUUAGUGUUCACUGUUUUCACAGGAGAUCAGGUUCCUUGUUAAUGAAUCAAGAAGAAGGCAAGCGCAUCCAUGUCCAAGUUCAAAUGUGUCUCCUCUAUUUUCUAUUACCCACUCAUUUAUUUUGAUUUCUUCAUUGUAAUUGAAUUAGUUUUUUAUUCCAAAUUAGUCAAAACCUCGUAGAGUCAUUAAGUUCUUUUAGCAUUUAAAGACAGAACUACGAACCAAAUGAUUUAAGUUCUUCGUUGUAAUUGAAUUUGCUUUCCCAUCUUUAAAGAUAUUAUGUUCUUUUUCACUUUUUCGAUUUGGUUAGUGGUGAUUUCUUAAAGACUCAAUCCAUUUGCGUUAAUACAUUUUUCUUUUGCCUUGAUUUCUGUUUCUUGGGGAGUUUAUACAUAUUCUUAUUUUAUGCUACACAUGCCAUAUACAGAUUCUUAUUUUAUGCUUCACAUGCCACAUGAAAGGUCAAAGCCUUGUGUGUGAUUAGAAUUUACUGGCAUCAUAGUAACUUUAAACCAUUGUGACGUUUUAGUAAUAACAGUCUGAGCUCUCCCUGAAGGAUUCAAAGCAUUUUAUUUUAUAUUAUACUCCUUUAUAUGGUUUGGCUGGUCUCUUUUAAGGCAAUUCCUGUUUAAAGUAAUCAAAAUUUUGAUUUCGAAGUGUCUUUCAACACUACCGCUAGUUCUUUAAGAAAAGUAAAUCGAUUUUGAGUCUUCUGUAUCAUCUGAUUGAAAUACAUGAAAGCACUCUUAGCUGCAAAAGUACACUUGGAGUUAUAAUAGCAUUCUGAAAUCUCCUUGAAGGAUUCAAAAGCUCUUUAUUUGCUAGUCUUUGCUUGCAAUAAACUCCUUUAAUAUAGAUUGGUUGAUCUUCUUUAAAGCAAUUACCAUAAGUUCUUUAAAUAAUAAAACGACUUUGAGUCUUAUGUAUCAUCUUGUUGAAAUACAUGAAAGCACUCUUGGCUGUAAAAAUGCACUUGGGGUUAUAUAUAAAGUCUUCAACAGAAUUUUAUUUCCCCCUUUAUCCUCAUGGUGGUCUUUUUAGUUGUUUUUUAAGAAAUCGCUUGAAGGUUCUCUUUAAAAAUAAUUUUAACAUAAGCAUUCUUUAGAAGCACUUUAGAUGUCUGGCAUUUAGAAAAUUUUGUUCCUGUGUUCACAUAAUAUAAUAUAUAUAUAUAGAAAGCUGACUGUAGAAUAGAGGAGAACGAGUUGGUGUUGGUCUGAACUCUGAUCUUUGAAUCUCAUGUGACUCCACUACUUUUUACUUGUUCUGUACAAGGUCUUUUAGCUUUUCAAAAAGUUUUAGCUUUAUGGAUAAAAUACUGUUAAUUGUAAUCUAUAAAUAAUGAAAGGAAUUAAUAAAAUAUUUGGUAAAUUUUAUUUUCUAAAGUGUUAUGAGUUCUAAAACGGCUGUAUGUAUAUAAAUUUAUUUACACAUAUAUUUAUAAAUAUGAUUAUAUAAUAAUAUUUUAUGUGUACAUAUCAUAAUUGAUAACUAAAAUAAAUAUUUUUAUUUUAUUAAUGGUUUUUCCGUCUCAAUGUAGUUGGUAAUAAUAAUCUCUUUAGAUGUAACGAUUUUAUUUCCUAACUGAAUAAGGAAAAUUUUAGAUUUUUAUAAUAAAUGUUAAAUAUAUAUAGAAUUACAUUAAGUAUGAAAUAAUCCUCAAAAUUAGAUUUGAAAAGUUAUUCUUUUCUUGCUUUUAAAAAUAUGUCAUAUGAUGAGAUAAUUUUACUAAAAGUGAUUUUUUUUUAAAAAAAUUACUAAACAUCAAAAUUAACUCUUAACUUUUUAAAAUCAUUUCUAAUCUUCUCAUCCUAAGUUCUUUAUUGUUUUGUACAAAAUCCAAGGUUUUGACUUUUAUAAAAUGCCCACUCAAAAAUAAAUUAUUUUCUAAUUAAGAUUUGUUGUUAAUGUAUAACUCGAAGUAAUAUUAGAUAUUUGUAAUUUUAUUUCAAAAAUUUUAUUCAAAUGAUAUGGCAAGCAAUGAACAAUAGUUGAUAGCAAUUUUUUUUUUUUAACAAUGUUCAAAUCAAUCAGUUGCAUUAUCUCACCAUUUUUAUGAUGUCAUGUUAUUUUAAAUGAUUUUUUUAAUUUUUAUAUAAAACAUACGACGUGUUAACAUCAUUUGCAUAACUUGACCUUUUUUUUUUUCCUACAAAUAGUGUUUAAAAUUCAACACACAGAUGUGCCUCUUUCUUACUAUACUGGAAUCCUCGGUAAACUUUUUGUUUGCGCAAUUUAUGUGAGCAAAUUGUGUCUUCUUUUUCAUAUGUAAAUGUUUUUGAUAUCUUGAUGUGAAGGUAGAAAAUUGCAUGUUUUGAGUUUUUGCAUAUUUGAUGGAAACACAGAACCGUACCUGAAUAUUUCAGAACCCCCUUUUCUUUGAAGUUUGAACACUUUUCUUGAAUGUAUCAACUUUAUUUAUGGGAUAUGUUGCCAAAUUGGCAAAUCUAUUCGUUAUAAAACUUUCCUUUGACAGUUUAAUCUAAGCAGAUGUUAAUUCUGCAAAUAGAGUGUGCCUUAGAUUAGUUUCAUAGAUUUGUCUCCUUCUGUACAGUAAAAACUUUGAGCAUUUUCGCCAUAUUCUGAUCAAUACACUCCAACUAGUUAGUUCUUGAGGCGUUUUAUGGUUUCGUGGAGUGAGGCAAGAUGUAUACGUUUGCAAAUUGGCAAUGUCUUUUGCUUGAUGGGUUGAGAGUUGUGAGUGUCAACAGGAAACAAGACCUCUGUUUUAUGAACUCCAAAAAGUUAUUCUGUUAGAAAGAUCGAGACAGAGGCCAUACUAUAUUUAUUAUUGCUAUAAAAGUGUGAAAAAAUAUUCUUUAUUUAAUAUUCUAAACGAUUGAGCCAUUUAGUUAUGAUAUUCUGCUGUAUUGGGGCUAAUAAUCUAAGUCGGUUCAAAGUGGUAAAUUUAUAAAUUGAUAGGUAUGCCUGGUAUGACCGCUUACGUUGGAUUUUAUGAGGUCUGCUCUCCUAAGCAUGGAGAGUGUGUCUUCAUAUCAGCAGCAUCUGGUGCAGUUGGUCAGCUUGUGGGGCAGUUUGCAAAGUUAUUGGGCUGCUAUGUCGUCGGAAGUGCUGGAAGCAAAGACAAGGUAGGUUAUCUGUGUGAAGUACUUGAUUGUUUCCGUGUUACUUUCAAACAUUUAAAUUAAAAAGGAAAUUUUCAUAAUCUUGCCUUUUCUAUGAUUUUCAAAACCAAGGUUGAUCUACUGAAGAACAAGUUUGGGUUCGACGAGGCAUUUAACUAUAAAGAAGAAGCUGAUUUGAAUGCAGCAUUGAAAAGGUUAGCAUCAAUAAAUGCCUUAGCUUGAUGCAGCUUGAUGAAGUAUGAUACACAUUUCUGACCAAUAUACUGCGUUCCCUGAUCUCUUACUUGAAAUAUCUUGGUUUGAGAAUCUCAUGCCAAUGCCUUUAACAUUUUGGCAGGUACUUUCCUGAAGGAAUUGAUAUAUAUUUUGAAAACGUUGGUGGAAAAACGCUUGAUGCAGUGCUACCCAACAUGAAAAUCCGUGGUCGAAUUGCUGCAUGCGGUAUGAUCUCACAGUACAAUCUUGACAAGCCUGAAGGUGUGCACAACUUGAUGUAUCUUGUUUCGAAACGGCUUCGAAUGGAAGGAUUCAUUGUUCUCGAUCACUAUCACCUCUAUCCAAAGUUUCUGGAAAUGAUCAUUCCUCACAUCAAAGAAGGGAAGCUUGUAUACGUCGAAGACAUGGCUGAAGGUCUUGAGAGUGCUCCGGCAGCUCUCAUCGGUCUAUUCUCUGGCCAGAAUGUUGGGAAACAGGUGGUUGCUGUUGCUCCUGAAUGAAGAACAAGUUAGUGUUGCAGUUUGAAUGAUGCUGCUGCACAACUGCUGCCGAAAAAAUCCUUAAUAGAUGAUUAGCAAGGUUUCAAAAAUAAAAAGAAAUGUUUGUGCAACGUGCCGAAUAUGACAGCCACAAAGAAAGAGCAUACAAAUUGAUUGGUUUUAUGUCUUCUCUAGGAGAAAGCUACAAUACAAGAAAUUGUAUUGAUGGAGCCAUGGACCAAAUUUCUUAUUUAAACUUUUAAUUUUUUUUAUUAAAAUUACUUAUGUUAUUAUGGUUUAUAUUUUUAGAAAUUCUUUAGAAAUUAAUACAGAACUAGUAGCAAGUUGAGAAAUCUACUGAAUAGUCGAGAUAUGAUCAUGUUUAUUGAAUUAAAUUGACAAUCAUCAUUUUGAUAAAUUAUUGUUAGGAUAUUUGAUUCAUCACAGGUGUAAGUAACUAAAUGUGCUAAAAAAAAAGUUAAUGAGUUGUGAGUGUUUGAUAUUCGUUUGUUGUAAUUCUUUUAAUAAUUGUUGUGGGAAAAAAAUUAUGGUAAAAAAAUUAUAAUUAUAAAAUAAAAAUUAAUAAUAUAUUAUAAAUAAAAUUUUUAAAUAAUAAUUUUAAUAAAAUAAUAAAUAUAUUAUGAAUUUUUCAUUAUAAAUUUUUAAGUUAAAAUAAUAAAUAUUUAUUAAAUAUUUUAAUAGCACAACUUUUAAAUUAUAACAGUACAAUGUAAAUACCAGAGGUCUUAAAAAAUAAAAUUACAGUCAAGUUUUAAAACUGUUAAUAAUGCUAUUCAUAAAGGCGCUCGUCGUGUAAACAACACAUGGGACCCAACCAAUAAAUGUUUAUGAUCCUCAACUUUCCUCCUCACCGUCCCUGCAAACAAUUCUGAUCUUCUUGUCUGAGAAAAAAACUGAGAAACAAUGGCGGCCGAACAAGAAGCUGUGAGCAAUAAGCGGGUGAUUCUAAGCAACUAUGUGACAGGUUUUCCAAAAGAAUCGGACAUGAAGAUAACAUGUGGAUCAAUAAAACUGGAGGUAGCAGACGGUUUAAAAGACACGGUGCUUUUGAAGAAUCUUUAUAUUUCUUGUGAUCCUUACAUGCGAGAGCGUAUGAGCAAGCUUGAUAGACCUUCUUUUGUUGAUUCAUUCCAUCCUGGUGAGGUUAGUUCAUCACGACCCAUCUCUUGAUUUUUUUUUUUUUUUCAUUUGCUUCAAGUUUUGAUGAGUUUCUGAGGUCAUUUGUACGGUUUUGGAAUGUGAACACUAUUAGUGAUUUUGGGGCUGUAACUGUCAUUAAUGAUAUGUAGUAAUUCAAUCAGAAUUUGGAUUUAGUGCUGAUAUGAUCUCUGCUCAUUUUUUAAAAUCUUGUGUCCAGAUGCAUUUUUAUAAUCUUGUACGGUUGAGAUUGUAUGUAGAUUAAUCUACGUGCAGUAUUCUUGUCUAAUGACUACUAACCACAACCUUAUGAGACGAUCGAAACCAAGCUCAGAUCAAUAAUCCAAUUGAGAGAGGGUCCUAACUCAAGCUUAUCGUGUGUAGGAAUAUUUCGGUUAAAUUGUAAUUCUUUUAAUAAUUGUUGUGAAAAAAAAAAGUUAUGAUAAAAAAAUUAAUAAUUAUAAAAUAAAAAUUAAUUAUAUAUAAUAAAUAAGAUUUUUAAAUAAUAAUUUUAAUAAAAUAUAAUAAAUACAUUAUCAAUUUUUCAUCGUUAAUUUUUAAGUCACAACCACAAAUAUUUACUAAACACUUUAACACCAUAAUUAACACCACAACUAUUGAAUUAUAACUGUACAAUCUAGACGCCAAGAGGCCUUAGUAUGAAAAAAAAAAAUUACAGUUAAGUUAAAAUUCAUCAUACAGAUGUGCCACUUUCAUACUAUACCGGGAUCCUCGGUAAUGAUUUUUGUUACACAAUAAGAUUUGCUUAUAGUAAUAUCAAUACAUAUGCUGCUUAAAUGCUUUCUGAUUUUUUGCCGGCCAUUGUCCAUUUUGCCAGGGAGUCUAUAAUUGAAGGAAUUUACUGAAGGAAUGCUGAUUGUUGGGAAUUUGAUUAUUCUAGGUAUGCCUGGUGUAACUGCAUACGCUGGUUUAUACGAAGUUUGCUUUCCGAAGAAAGGAGAGUAUGUCUAUGUAUCUGCAGCAUCUGGAGCUGUUGGUCAGCUUGUUGGACAGUUUGCAAAAUUAGCUCGUUGCUAUGUUGUUGGAAGUGCAGGAAGCAAAGAAAAUAUAGCACCGUGCCUUCUAGCAGAAUUUUACUUGCUUUAUGUUCCAACUAAGCAUCCAUAUUUGAUCAUGAUAAUUAGCAAGGUCAAUAAUUUUUUUUUGACUAUUUUUUCAACGUAAGGUCGAUUUGUUGAAGAACAAGUUUGAACGAUGCUUUUAACUACAAGGAAGAGCCUGAUUUUGAUGCAGCACUCAAAAGGUCAGCUGCAACAAACGUUUCAACUCUAAUAUUUCAUUUUAAUAUUACAGAGCUUUGGUUGAAGUGUGUGAGUUGAUCCCAGAAACGUAACUUCAUCAGUGUCUCUGUUUUCAAAAAACAUGACAAAUAGAAAUCUGAUUUUGCUUUAAAAUUUCCCAGAUGCUUCCCUCAAGGAAUCGACAUAUAUUUCGAAAAUGUUGGGGGAAAGAUGCUGGACGCAGUGCUACUCAACAUGAGGCUCCGGGGCCGCAUUGCAGUAAGCAGUAUGAUCUCACAGUAUAACCUGGAAAAACCCGAAGGCGUACACAACUUAGAGCAACUGAUCGGGAAACGGAUUCGCCUGGAAGGAUUUCUAGCUGGUGAUUACUAUCACCUCUAUCUGAAAUUCUUGGAACUGGUCAUUCCUCCAAUCAGAGAAGGAAAGAUGCUGUAUGUGGAAGACAUGGCCGAAGGACUCGAGAAAAUUUCUCGUAACUGCUACACAUUAAACGCGUUUCACAUUUCCACUCUCUUUCUAUAAAUAAAUACGCACAUAAAAUUUCUCACCAUCCAAAAACAAAAUCUACAUAAAAAAUGGCGGGUGAAGAAGCAGUGAGCAACAAGCAGGUGAUUCUGAGCAACUACGUGACAGGGUUUCCCAAGGAAUCAGACAUGAAGAUAAUAACAGGCUCAAUAAACCUUAAGGUGCCAGAGGGUUCAAAAGACACAAUGCUUUUGAAGAAUCUUUAUCUUUCCUGUGAUCCUUACAUGAGAGGACGUAUGAGCGAGCUUGAUAAGCCUUCGUUUGUUGCCUCAUUCGAGUCUGGCGAGGUCAGUUACUUCAAUUCCCAUCUCUUGGUUUCAUAAUCUUUUAUGGUUUUAGAAGGUGUUUUAGGGAAACAUUGUGGUUUUGGUUAGUGGGCAUGAGUCUUUGAAGAGAUUAUAAUGUGUAGGACUAUGCAUGCAAUAAUAAGCAUAGGGGAUCUUGUUAGGAGAAGAUUCUCUUAGCAAAAUAAAAACUUUUAUCUUAUCAAAACAUAUGCAGGGAACUUAGUUAUGAUGUCAUGUUAGCAUUGUCUCUGAGGAUUUGAUUUCUUGAUGGGGAAAGGGGAAUUUAAGGUUACAUUAUUCAGCAAUGGUUUUUUUUUUAAAUUAUGUUCAAAUUAUGCAGCCUUUAAGCGGAUAUGGAGUGUCCAAAGUGUUGGAUUCCACGCCUCCAAAUUAUAAGAAAGAUGACUUGGGUGGUGUUUGUUUUUUAACUUAAUGACUUAAAGUGACUUAACUUAAUUAAUUAAGUUAAUUAGAGAUGUUUGUUUUUAUAACUUAAUGUGACUUUUUAAAUAAUUUUGACUUAAUAAAAUAAGCCAAUUUUAUUUACUUUUUACUUAAUAGAGACAUCUGAAUUAAGUCAAGUACUUUCUAAUGUCAAAAAUAUACAUGCUUUAUAAUUUAUUUUUCAUGUCUAUCCCAAAACUCACCCAUAGACAUUUACCCCACAUAAUAAUCUCAUCAUUAUUUUUUUAGCCGUCAUGAAAUCCCUCCUCACUUUGGUAUCAACUCCUCAACUAUUGAAGAUCAAAAUUACAUGCGACAACUUCGAGAUGAAUGGCAAAUCAACUGUUUCAAGCAUCUUAUUAGUUUUUUUUCUUUUUUAUAUUAUAUACGAUAAAAUUUGAAAUUUAUGGUAUUUUAUAUAUUAAAAUUCCAAAAUCAUUAUAUAUUCACUUGAAUAUAGUUUUACUUAUAAAUGUUAAAAUAUUGUGAUAUUUAAUAUAUUGUUUAUUUGACAUUCAAAUUUAAUAAGGAUACAAAUGUAAAAGUACAUAUUUUUCAGUUUUUUAAGUUGAAAAAAGAAAACAACUUAAUAAUUAUUUUUCGAGAUUCAGACGAAAAAACAAACAUAUUAUUCAGAUUCAGACAUUCAGAUCUAUUCAGAAUUUAGACUAAUUCAAGUCUAUUCAGAUUUCAGAUAAAAAAACAAACGCCACCUUGGUCCGGGGCUUAACCAGUUGGGAGGAGUUCAGUCUCAUCCAAUCACCACAACUUCUGAUUAAAAUUCUGGAUACAAGUGUGCCUCUGCCAUAAUUAAUUGACAGGUUGCUAUGUUGUUGGAAGUGCCGGAAGCAAAGAAAAGGUGAGUUUGCACCCUUAACCCUUACGCUCUAAAUAAAAACAUAACACCUUCUGAAAGAAUUGUGCAUAGAGAAUUUUGCAUGUCACAUUAUUUGUGUUCUAACUAAUCAUGGAUAUUUGAUCAUUAGUCUAACUAAAACUGACAUAUUACCACCUAGUUGACUGGUCUUUGAGAAAUGUUAGUUGAUAUAUGCUUGAAAUCAUACUUUGUUUUAUUAGAUGAUUAUAUUAACCUGCUUCUUUUUCUUUGUGCUGUUUCUCGUUUGAUUACAUUUUCAACAUUAGGUCGAUCUAUUGAAGCACAAGUUUGGGUUUGAUGAUGCCUUUAACUAUAAGGAAGAGCCUGACUUGGAUGCAGCUCUUAAUAGGUUAGCACGAAUGAAUGCUUUAACCAUUUUUCUCACUUCAUUAUUACAAUGCGCUGAUUGAAGUAAUCAGUGUUGGCUCUGAAAAUGUAACGUAUACUUCUCUGUUUUCAUAAAACAGGACAAACAGUGAUCAGUGAUCUCAUUCGUUACAUUGAUAUUUUCUACCAUUGCCAUACAUAGUAUAAACUAGGAAUUCAGUUGCUUAAUAGAUAUUCAUUUCAGAGGGAAAUUUUCACUUGCAGCUAACAGAAUCAUGUUUGUGAUGUAUGUUUAUUUGGGAAAUGAAAGGAUUUGUUGCAUUAUUUUAUUCCAAGUUUGCUGAAAUCAUAUUUGUUUUCCCAGGUGCUUUCCUGAAGUUAUCGACAUCUAUUUCGAAAAUUUUGGGGGUAAGAUGCUUGAUGCAGUGCUACUCAACAUGAGAAUUUGUGGCCGCAUCGCUGUAUGCGGAAUGAUCUCACAGUACAACUUUGAGAAGCCUGAAGGUGUACACAACUUGAUGCAAGUAAUUGGAAAACGAAUUCGCAUGGAAGGAUUUCUUGCCAGUGAUUUCUACCACCAAUAUCCAAAAUUCUUGGAACUGGUUAUGCCGGCAAUCAAAGAAGGAAAGUUAGUAUAUGUCGAGGACAUAGCUGAAGGCCUCGAGAAAGCUCCAUCAGCCCUAGUUGGGAUAUUCACAGGUCAAAAUGUUAAAAAACAACUGGUUGUAGUUGCUCGGGAAUGAUAUGAUUACUAUAUGCUUUAAAAAGUGGACUUUGCCAUGCACUUUAAAACCUUAGUGAAGAUGCCUUUGUCUUAUUUUUGAUACAUGUUAUGUUUGUUUGAUCAAGUUGUACUCAGCUAUAAAUCAAAGAUUCAGAACAUGUGUAUGAUACUGGUUUCUAAAUCAAUGAACGCCUUGAAAUGUUAGUGUUUUCACAGGAGAAUGCAAUUUAAUUCAUCAACAAUGUCCCAACAAGACCCUCAGAGCUGUAGCUUGUAAAGUUAAUUACGAUAUUUUUUUGUAAAGUAAAUUACCAUAUUUUUUUCUUUCCAAUAUAUUGCUUAUUUCAUAGAAAGUUUACAUUAAAGUCUCAUGUUUCUUUGAAAGGUAAGCAAGUGUGAACGUUUCAAUCUAGAGAUGGAAAAUGCAUUUCCGGGAACUUACUUGAUAAAUGAAGUUUUCAUCUCUGACCUUGAUGUUUCCCACAGGUGCAUUCAUUUCAGCUGAUCUAUAUAAUUUUGUUUUCGAAGGAGAGACACAAAAUCUCCGUUGUUAAGGGGAGAAUUUAGAGUGGCUUUGACUGUUAACAAAUAGCCUAAUGUAAGACUUAACCAACUUCCUGCCCUGUUGUAUGCUUAUGAAUUUUGAUAGAGCUAAGAGUUUGCAGAAGCUAUUGUAUUAUAUGUCGUUAGAGGCUGUAAACAUCAAACACAUUUAAAUUUCAAUGAAAAUUUACUGGAAGUAAAUUUCCUUUGAUCCCACAGGUGACUAAUUAAUGAGAACUUGACAAUGACAAAAGAAAGUGUAUGAACUUUGCAGGCUGGCAUGCCAAUAUUGACUGGGUGGCACCAUCCACCAUCUGCAAGUGAAUAUCAUUGUUGUUUAAUCAACAAGGUGGAGUCCACUGGGACCACACCACAUCGUCAGCCUUAUCUCUAUUCCUCAAUUUUCAGUAUUCCAUACAUCAAAACAAUUUCAGUUUUGUUAUCAAUUAUAAUUUCAUUGUUGGUGACGAUUCUGAUUCCUUUCUUUCUGACAAAACGGAACCAUGGUUGCUGUGGGAGAGAUCUUACUCAACGCCUUCUUUCAGGUGUUGUUUGACAGGUUGGCUUCCCGUGAUUUGCUCAGCUUUGUCCGUCAACUUGGAGGCGGGGUCGAUUCCGAGCUCAAGAAGUGGCAAAGAAAGCUGAAGAUGAUUCAGGCGGUGCUCAACGAUGCAGAGGAGAAGCAACUGACUGACGAGGCUGUGAAGAUGUGGCUGGACGAUCUCCAAGACUUGGCUUAUGACGCUGAGGACAUUCUUGAUGAGUUUGCUACUCAAGCUUUGGAAAGCAAGUUGAUGGCGCAAAAUCAGGAUAGCUCUGGCCAGCUUCUCAGUUUCAUCCCGGCUAGUUUGAAUCCGAAUGCUGUUAGGUUCAAUUAUAGCAUGAGGUCCAAGAUUAACGAUAUUACUAGCCGGUUGGAGCAACUCUGCAAAUAUAGAAUUGAACUUGGGCUGCAACGGAUUCCUGAAGGGGCAUCAUCAACUGCUGCUGCUGCACACCAGAGGCCACCCAGUUCAAGCGUCCCACCAGAACGUGAAGUUUUUGGUAGAGAAGAAGAUAAGGCCAAAAUUCUUGAUAUGGUAUUGGCCGAUAGCCCAAGUGAUCAUGCCGACUUUGCUGUAAUACCCAUUGUUGGCAUGGGCGGGAUAGGAAAAACAACUCUCGCUCGGGAGGUCUACAAUGACAAGGCCGUUGAACAUUCCAAGUUUGAUGUAAAAGCAUGGGUUUGUGUAUCUGAUGUCUUUGACGUUUUGGGCAUCUCAAAGGCGCUUCUCGAGUCAAUCACCCGCAGGCCAUGUCUUCUAAACAGUUUAAACGAAGUGCAGGUUGAAUUGAAAGUAGCUGUGGAUAAAAAAAGAUUCUUGCUGGUCUUAGAUGAUGUUUGGAACGAGGACUACAGCUUGUGGGUAGACUUAAAAGCUCCGUUCCUGGGUGCUGCACCAAACAGCAAGAUGAUCGUCACCACACGCAAUUCAAGUGUUGCAUCAACAAUGAGACCCAUUGAUCGUCACCACACGCAAUUCAAGUAUUACGAUCUCAAGAGUCUGUUAGAUGAUGAUUGCUGGUCCAUUUUCAUAAACCAUGCAUUUGAAUCUACAGACCUUAGCGCACAUCGAAUUUCAGAAUCAUUCCGCGAGAAAGUUGUUGGCAAGUGUGGGGGCUUGCCUCUGGCAGCAAAAACACUCGGGGGCCUUCUUCGUACUAAAACGCAUGCUGAGUGGGACGGUAUAUUGGAUAGCAAAAUAUGGGAUUUACCUCGGCAAAGCAGCAUUCUCCCCGUGUUAAGAUUGAGUUACCAUCAUCUUCCUUCUCAUUUGAAAAGAUGUUUUGCUUUUUGUGCCAUCUUUCCAAAAGAUUAUGCAUUCACUGAGAGGGAGCUGACUUUCUUAUGGAUGGCUGGAGGUAUUAUUCGACAGUCAAGAAACAAUGAGCAGCUGGAAGAUUUGGGCAGCAAGUGCUUUGGUGAUCUAGUGUCGAGGUCAAUUUUUCAACAAACAGCAAUCUCUGAUAGUUCUAAAUUUGUAAUGCAUACUUGAAAUUUCUGUCUUCAAUAUUUUGAUGCUUUCUUAUCCCAUGCACAAAAGUACUAGAAAAAACUAAUAACAGCUAACCGAAAAUCCCAGGCGUCAUAUUCCUUUUUACCGCGUUUUAAAAUGCACAACAAUGAUAUUCUUACAAAUUUGCAAAAUUUGUCAAUUUCUUAGAUUUCAGAUAUUUUAAUGCUUUUUUUAAUUUUUGAUCUAGUAAAAAUACACAGCCUUCACCGGCAGGAUUCUAGUCUUGGCUUUCACCUCUCUAACUCAUCUGUUCCCAUUGGGAUUCCAGAAAUUGAAAUUUCUGUCUUCAAUGGGUUUUCAAAGCCUCGCCUCUCUUCGAUUUUUGUGGAUCGGGAAUUGCACAAAUCUCACAUCAUUUCCCGAGGUCGAGGAAAAGAGCGGCCCAAACUUGCUCGCAUCCCUUAUUAGGUUAUGAUAGAUGGAAAAUUCAUAUACGAUCCAGAGUCAGAGGUGUUGAUUCUCUUAUUAAGGUCAGCUGAUUUCUAUUAUCCACUCUGACAAUCUCCUAUUCGUGUUUUUCCUUUUUAAAUUUUUUUUCCAAAAUUUUGCAGUUCCGUAUAUUGGUGUUUGUUAAGGUAAUUAGUGCUCCCUCAAUAUUGCAUUUUAGACUGCCAAAUGUAGCAGUAAUUUUAAUACAAUUUUGUUGGUGCCUUGUGUUCCAGAAGCUAGAAAAAUGUGUAGUUUUCAGAUAAGGAGGCUUGUCAGUUCUCUAGUAAGAAUCCAAUGAUUUGCUUUUGCACGUCCAUCUAAUUUGUGGAUCCUUGCAUCAGAAUUUGAUCAAUCCAAAAGGAAUUGCUUUUAGACAGAAGAAGAAUAGCAGCACCUAGCCUACCCGCAAACCUGAAACUAUUAGAUUGAGGUAAAAAAAUCAUUGACCCUCACAUGUUAACUUCUUCUAGUUACUUUCAUUGGGGAAAAAAAAACAUUUAAGGAAUUUGCAAUUUGUUGUUAGUUAUGGUAUCUGAUGUUCUUUUCUGCUUUAGCGUUUGUAGAACCUACUGUAUUAUGUGUUGGCAGUUGCCGUAUCUGAGGUAACUUGCCUUUAUUUGUUUGCUUCUGAGUUAAGGACACCAACAUUUGCCAGAGAUUUAGAGAAUCAUCUCAAAACACUUAGCAAACUUGACAAACUUCAAGAUGCACUUGCCCCCACGCCUUAUUCUCAACAACGCAAAACUUGUGAGUACACCUAUGCCUGCAAUUAUUGUGAAGUGUUCGCAAUUCUGAUGCAGAGAAAUGGUUUCUUGAUGCAAAGUAUUAAACUGUUAAGAUUUAUCCUGCAGGCUUGUUAGAUGUUGUAUACUCGAAAAGCCAACAACAUCAAGAACUACAACUCCAAGACCAACUUUGCGUUAAUUCAGUCAGCUGUAAAAAUGAUGCAAAUGACACUAUAUCAAGCUGGACUUAGAGACUAGUCAGAUCAAUCAUCCAUUUCAUCAACGGUUAAUGUCAUGAUGGUGGCUAUCAGAGGAAACAAAAGAUGUGUCAGAAUCUAUACGAACAUUGAGAAGCAUGAGAGGAGCUUUGAUUUUGAGUAGGGUCAAUGAACUCAUGUUGGUAAGUGGUGAUUAAAGAAAUUUGUAAGCUUAGUAGAGUUUCAGUAUUUUCUGUUUGGAGUAUAGUUGAUAAGUUGACUCUGUUUAAGAAGCCCGAUUAUAGUAGCUGACUGUAUUAACCUUUUUUUUUUUGGUCUGCUGUUGUUUUUGGUUUCGAUUAUUUUUUCAACAUUGGGUUGAUCUGUUGAAGAACAAGCUUGGGUUUGAUUAUGUUUUAACUAUAAGGAAGAGCCAGACUUGGUUGCAGGCGUUAAGCUUUUAAUGGGUAAGAACAAAUGAAUGCUUUAACCAUGUUUCUCACUUAUUAAAAUGCAUGGAUUGAAGGCAUCUGGGUUGAUCCUGACAAUGUGAUGGAAAUACUUCUCUGUUUUCAUGUAACAGGACAAAUAGAGAUCUCUGAUCAUGCCUGAAUUUUUGUUGCAUUGAAAUUUCUACCAUUACCAAACAUAGAAUGAACUGGGGAUACAUUAGCUUAAGACUCAAUUUUGAGAAGGAAGUUUGUACUUGCAGCCUAUAAAAUCAUGUCCGUGUCGUACGUUUCUUUGGGAAAUGAAAGAUUCUGUGUGUUCUUUUAUUUCAAGUUCACUGAAAUCACAUUUGUUUUCUCCGAUGCUUUCCAGAAGGUAACAACAUCAAUUUCAAAAAUGCUGGGGCAAGAUGCAUCAUGCAGUGCGACUCAACUUGAGAAUUCCUGGCCACAUUACCCGUAUGUCGAAUGAUCGCACAGUUCAACCUUGAGAAGCUUGUAAUGAGUACACAACUGGGUGCAAGUAGUUUUGAAAUGAAUUUGCCUCAAAUGAUUUCUUGCUCGCAUCCCUUGGGUUAUGAUAGAUGGAAAAUUCAUAUACGAUCCAGAGUCAGAGGUGUUGAUUCUCUUAUUAAGGUCAGCUGAUUUCUAUUAUCCACUCUGACAAACUCCAAGACCGGGUUUUUUUUUUUUUUAAUUUUGCCGUUCUGUAUAAUUGAAAUGCCACUCACUUGUUUCCUUCUUCACAGGUCCGAUAGUAUGUUGAGGCUAUUUGCUUUUUAUCGGUGUUUGUCAAGGUAAUUAGUGCUGCCUCAUAGGUUGAUUACUCACAGAUGAAAUCAUAACUUUUAUCUUAAAAUUUAAUAGCAUACACAGAUAGAUGAUUUUUAGUCCAAAGUUUUUUUAUUCACUUCAAUCAAAAUUUUAGAUUGCAGAUUUUUGUCAAGUAUUUCAUUACAAUUUUUUCAUUUUUUAUUUUAAACCAGAAUAUGAGUAUAACAUUUUGGAGCGUGCAUACUCUGAUGCAUGCAAUUAACUGUUUUUAAUCAUUGGAUUUUGAAAUUAAUAAUGGUAAGAUGUGUACUUAUUCUGUCUUCCAACAACCUUGGCCUCUUUCUUCGGUCGCAUAUCUAAUGAAUAUUUCUCUGUUUAGUUAAGGAUGAAUGCUUGGAGUGGGGUACUUGGUAACAUUUCUGCCUCAGAUGAAUCCUUGAAGAAAUGCCCGCAGUUCCUGAGACCAAAUACAGGUCUGAUUCAAAACAGCACCUUUCUCAGAAAAUAUGAUCCAAGGCAAAGUCAUGUUCUGAUAAUGUUUCCUUAAGUACAAAGUUGCAAGGAAACUUGAUUCAUUAACUACAGUUUUUUAUUUUUAGGACCUUGUAUCUGAAAGGUUCAGUGUUUUUUUUUUUUCAAAUUUAUUGUUCAGAUCUCAGAGGAGUAUAUGGUUUAGAUUACAAAACACCCAUGAUUAAUUUCAUUUUUUUUUUUUUAUUUCAGGGAGAAGAAGUGGUCAGUUUCAAUCCGGAAUUGGAAUAUGGCAAUUUGGUUCAAGCACACACACCUGGUCACUUGGUCAGUGAACCUGAACUUUACGCAGUUUUUUCAACUCAGUGAUUUUUGGAACGCAUAGUGGUGUAAGGAAAUCAAAAGAAAUUUAUGCAUAGUCAAAUUCUGAUAUUUGCUAUAUAUUAUACAUUCUAAAGUUUCUCCAGUUUGUUCUCAGAUUACCAUCAUUUUUUGCCUUCACCAAAAAAAAAAAAUUGAGUGGCUUUCCAGUGGAUAUUUAAUCGGAGGUAUGACUGGAUUUUUUUCACUUCUGUAAAUCUUGCAUUUUAAACUGGCAAAUUUAACUUUAAUUUUAAUACGACUUUGUUGGUGCCUUGUGCUCCAGAAACUAGAAAGAUGUGUAGUUUUCAGAUAAAGGGGCUUGUAAAUUCUCUAGUAAGAAUCCAAUAAUUUGCUUUUGCACGUUCAUUUUAUUUGUGGAUCCUUGCAUCUGAAUUUAAUCAAUCCAAAAGGAAUUGCUUUUAGACAGAAGAAGAAUAGCAGUACCUAGCCUAUGACAUAGUAUAUGGACCUGCAAACCUGAAACUAUUAGUUUGAGGUAAAAAAUUCAUGACCCUCACAUGUUAACUUUCAUGAAAAACACAUUUAAGAAAUUUGCAAUUUUUUGUUAGUUUCGUAUCCGAUGUUGUUGCAUCACAGUAACUUUAAACCACUGCGACAUUUUUAUAAUAACAGUCUGAGAUCUCCCUGAAGGAUUCAAAGCAUUUUAUUUUAUAUUAAACUCCUUUAUGUGGGUUUCGACACUACCACAAGUUCUUUAAAUACUAAAACGAUUUUAAGUCUUUUGUAUCAUCUUAUUGAAAUAUAUGAAAGCACUCGUGGUUGCAAAAAUACAGUUGGGGCUAUUUCUAAAGUCUUCAACAGCAUUUUCUUUUUAACCUUUAUCCUCAUGGUUGUUUUUGCAGUUGUUCUUUAAGAAAACAUUUAAAAGGUUCUCUUUAUGGAUUUUUGAAAAUAAUUUUAACAUUAGCAAUUUUCAGAAGCACUUUAGAUGUCUGGCAUUUAGAAAAUUUUAUUCCGGUGUCACAUAAAAUACUUAGGAAGUUAAAUUUAUUUAUUUAUGAGCAUGUGCCAGUGCCCUGUGGCAUCCUCUUCACUUGUGAUAGUCAAAUAUAUUAUACGAUACAAUAUUAGCUUGACUGUAGCACAGAGGAGAAUAGGGUUGGUGUUGGUCUGAACCAGCUUAUGUAACAGCUGCCAAAAGGAUAAUUUAAUUGUACUUUGAGUAAAGCUUUUGCGAAUUAAACAAGUGAUAAUUUGUUUCUAUUAAGAAAAACUUAAAGGAUAGGGCUAUUUUAACUCACCAAACUACACAUUAAAAAUCCACUUACAAAAAUAGUUUUUAAUUAUUAAAAUAUUCCUAAAUUAAAUUAUAAUUAUGGACACUAAAAUAUAAUUUUUUUUAUAUUUUACUUUUUGAAACUGUCUUUAUAUUCGAUAUUAUAUUUUUUUUCUUAAACUCUAAAUUGAUAUUUUUUUAUUAAUUUUAAAACACAUAUAAAGUGAUUUAUAUUGAUUUUAUACUAACAAACUAUUAUAGCACAUUCGAAAAAUAAUUAAAUCGUUCUUAUUUACAUAGUGAAAAUGCAAAUAGCUCAUUCAAAUGUUAAGGAAUUGGAGAGCUGCUGCUGGAGAUGAAAGAUGUGAAUUAAACAUCAGAGAAAAAAUUAUGUUCACUAUCUUGCCAGACCAAGCACCGAAGAGCGUCGUAAAGAAAAAUUAGAUAAUUUAGAAGAUAAAGCACGUGGAAUGGAGGCAGAAAGCAAGUAAUGAUAACUCUUUCGACAAACUAAUAUAUACCAAAAUGCAAUAUCGGCCCUAAUAAAAAAUGAAAAUAAAAAUUCAUUACGAAUACUUGUUAAAGAUAUCCCAAGUAUAGAUGUGACUGAAAUAUUUGAGAUUGAAGAAGAAUUAAGACUCAAAAUCAAUUGGGAGGAAUAAAUGAGAAACCCCAAUACCAAAAAAUACACGCACAAAUCCUAAUACUAAUUGUAAUCACGGAUAAAAAGCAUAAUACGAAUAAAUUACAUGGGCAACUAUUCCAUUGAGAAAUUAAUUAAAUCGUGUAUUAAUAUUUUGUAUACAUAUAUUUUUCUAUACAUAACUUUCGGUAAUUUAGUUUUCCACUUAUCAUUUUUACUCCAAAAAAGUAAUUGAGAAUAUUAUUUAUGUUUUGGUACAAAAUAUUUGAACAAUAUACAAAUUUUCAGUUUAAUAAAUCUAAACAUCUAUUAAGUUAUAAAUGAAUUUAAUGGGUUUAAUUAAUAAAAUUACUAUUAUUAUAUAAAUUGGGUUUAGUAAUGGUAUAUUGGGUGGGUUUGUUGAGUAAAUUUUAAAAUUUUGAAAUUUAAGGAUGAAUUUAUUUAGUAAAUGAAUUCAGGGAGUAAUUUGUUGGGAUUCACAUAGCCCCACCAAAUUCAAAUGUAAAAUUUUUGGAAAAAGAAGCUAUUGAGUUAUUCUAAAAAAUAAUUAAAAUGUCAAGAAUACCUUUAUUUAAUUUUAUAAUCUUAUUUUAUAGUCAUAUUUUAUUUCCACCUUAACAUAAUUUUAAAAACCUUAACUAAUAAAUUCUAUAUUUUUUUUUAUAAAAGUUAUCAUUAAUAUCCAAACGGCUACAGAUUUUUUUUUUUUAAAAAAAGGAACUAUGCUUACAAAAGUUGUAUACAUUAACAAUAAAUUUAGUCCAAAGAAUAAAGUUAUUCCAAACAAGCACUCUAAUUCAUCUUGCUAAUGAAUCAAGAUGACUGAAUCCUUCUCUGAGCCAAAUCUAUUUUCACUUUUAGGUCAGAAAUUGUCAUUAAAAAAGUGUUUGAUAAAAUAUGCUCUGGGAACACUAAUUCGUCAGAUGGUUACUCCAAGUUUAUGAAAUCAAUGGGAUUUCAUCAUAUUCAUAACAUUCUUCUUGAAUGUCUAUUCUAACAAAGAAAUCAUAUACAGAGAAUAGGUUUCGUUAAAACUUUUUCUAGAAAAACUAACCACAAUUCAUCAUUCAUUUAUCUCUUAAGUAAGCGUAAGAUUUUAUCAUUAAAAUCCCAUCAUGAAAAAACUCAUGGGAGAAAAACUAUAAAAAUUGAAGAAAAAAGAGUAUGGCGUGCAUGUAAAUUAUAUCGAUUUUAUCUACAUGACAAAUAAGACUCUCUUUUACAAUGGCACGGAUGCUUCAUUGAGUAAUCAUGAUUCUUGCUGGUAGUGCUUUGUUGUAUCAAUCUGCUAGCUAUUCAGCGUUCUUUCUUUCUUUCUUCUUAUUUUUUUGUUUUCAAAUAGCUUGUGGUUGUAGAAAUAUUUCAAUUAAACUAUACUUAAGUACUUAUUUGGUAUAACUUCUUUACUAACCAAAAGAAUUUUUUUUUUUGGUUUUUUAUAAUUUAAUUAUACUUUAACUAGAGUUUUUGGGAUAAAACAAGUGAUAAUUUCUCUCUAUUAAGAAAAACUCAAAGGGUAGGGCUAUCUCAAUCCACCAAACUAUUUAUUAAAAAUCCACUUAUGAAAAUAAUUUUUAAUUAUUAGAAUGCGUUUACAUUAAAUUAUAAUUAUGGACACUAAAAUAUAAUAAAUUUUUUUUUUACUCUUUAAAAUUGUCUUUACAUUUGAUAUCAUAUCUUUUUCUUAAAAUCUAAAUUGAUAUUUUUAUUUUAUUUUUGAUUAAUCUUAGAACACAUAUAAAGUGAUUCAUAUUGAUUUUAUACUAACAAACUAUCACAGCACAUUCGAAAAUAAUUAACUCGUUCUUAUUUGCAUAGUGAAAAAGGCAAAUAGCUCACCCAAAUGUUAAGGAUAUGAAAAGCAUGGUCAAGAAAAAUUGCAUAAUUCUCACUUAGAAGAGAGGUAGCCGCCACCACCACCAGUGAAACUAUUUCACAUAAUAGAAGAUAAAGCACGCGUAAUGGAGGCAAAAAGCAAGUAAUGAUAACUCUUUUCGACGCACUAAUACAUAUCAAAAUGCAAUAUCGGUCCUAACAAAAUGAAAAUAAAAAUUCAUUACGAAUAUGUGUUAAAGAUAUCUCAAGUAUUGAUGUGAUUGAAAUAUUUGAGAUUGAAGUAGAAAUAAGACUCAAAAUUAAUUGAGAGGAAUAAAUGAGAAACUCUAAUACUAAUAAAAUAUAUUCACAAAUCCUAAUGCUAAUUAAAAUCACGGAUUAAAAAAAAUAAUAUGAAUGAAUUACAGGCGCAACUGUUUCAUUAAGAAAUUAAUUAAAUCGUGUAUUAAUAUUUUGUACACAUACAUUUUUCCAUAUAUAACUUUUGGUAAUUUAGUUUUCCACUUAACUUUUGGUGAAAAAAAUAAUUGAGAAUAUUAUUUAUGUUUUGAUGCAAAAUAUUUAAACAACAUAAAAAUUUUCAGUUUAAUAAAUCUAAACAAUUCUCAAGUUAUAAAUGAAUUUAAUGGGUUUAAUUAGAAAAAAUACUAUUAUUUUAUAAAUUGGGUUUAGUAAUGGUAUAUUGGGUAUUUAAAUGGGUUUGUUGAGUAAAUUUUAAAAUUUUAAAGUUCAAGGGUGGGUUUAUUUAGUAAAUGGGUUAAGGCAGCAAUUUUCCAAACUAAAUUUUUGGAAAAAGAGGUUAUUGAGUUUUUUUUUUUAAGAAAAAGAAUUAAAAUGUUGAGAAUACCUUUAUUUAAUUUUAUAAUCUUAUUUUAAAAAAUUUACCCAAUAAAUUUGAUAAUUUUUUAUAAAAAUUAUCAUUAACAUCCAAACAGCUGAAGAUUAAAAAAAAAAAAAAAGAAGGGAACUGUACUAGCAAAAGUUACAUUAACAAUAAAUUUAGUCCAAAGAAUAAAGUUAUAGCUAAAAAGUGCUCCUAUCCUAUUUUUCUCUAUUUUAACAAUAAUCUUCCAAUCCGUUUUACAAUGGACUUUAACAAAUGGGCUCAAUUAACAAGAUUGAUCAAGAAUUAACAAGACAAGAUGAAGAGAUGAUCUUGUAACUAAGAAUGAAGAAAUUACGCACAAAGCAGUAAAUUUGUAAAACCAGAAUUGGAGCUUCACUUCUCAAGAGAGACGAAACAGGAUACAAUCUAGCUUUGGUCAACUUCGUUUGGCCACGUCAUAAAGUCUCCCCACAGUCUUUCCCGCCAAAACAGAAAAGCUUUAAAAGCCAUUUACCUUCCUGAGUUACUUGCUCCUAUUACAUCAAGGCCCUGGAAGUCUAUAUUUAUUAUUACAAAAGCACUCUUAGGGUGCGUUUGGAAUUGAGGUGUUGUAGUUUUUAAGCUACAGCUGUUGUGAAAAAAAACUGUAAUUAUGAAAUAAAAGUUAAUAAUAUAUAGUAAAUAUAAAUUUUAAAUAAUAAUUUUAUCAAAAUUAUUAAAGAUAUAAUAAAUUUUAUAUUAUACAAGUGAAAAAUUAUAUCAACAUAGCUUAAAAGCUACAGCAGUUAAUGUUUACCAAACACUUUAGUGCUGUAGCUUUUAAGCUUCAGCUGCCCAAUCUCAAUCGCAAACGCACCCUUAAACCGAGAUCGAAGCGCAUGAUUUCAUUACAAAGCAUUCGCAAAGAAAUUGUUUUUAAAUGAAACUCCUCGUCUUGACCAGAUUAUUUAUUAUUAUUCAAAAACAAAUGCUCAAAGCUUAGCCAAAGUGAUAAACUCGUAAUUAUUCUACAAAGGGAACAAUUUUGAACGGUGGGAAAUUCCAUAAUUAUGCUUUUCUGUGAAUUAUUUUAAAUAAAAUUAUAAAAACCAAUAUAAAAUUAUUACCCAGUAAAGACUUUAGAGAGACAAAUGUCCCCAACAGGAUCAAGUGAAUAUGCCCCACAAAGAUCACAUGAUCAUUUCUUGUUCUUUUUCUUUUGGACAAUUUUAGACAAUAUAAAAGAAAAAAUAUUAAAUUUUUUUAACCGAAUUAUUUUGACUCAAUUUGGUUCAUAAUUUUUUAAACCAAAUGGAACCCUCAUAACAAAAAACUAACGGAAACAAUAAGAACACGAUGUUAAAAUCUUAAAUCAAUCGCAAAAAAGCACCCAAAACAGAUCGAUUAGGAACAGUUAACAACAAAAGAUUUGAUGGUUCAAAAUCAUAAUGUGACCUACUUCCAUCCAAGAAUUAUACUAAUUUCUUUACUAGUUGUCAAAUACAAGAUCACAAGAUUAUUUAUCACUCUAUAGAGAAAAACUUUUUAGAAGAAAUACUCCCCAAUUUUUCUCUUGAUAGUUAUGAAUCAACACCCCUAGAAAGGCUAUUGAUUUAUUUUUCCUUAUUUCAUAUGAUCGGUUGCUGCAACUUAAUCCUUGCCAAGUUCCAACAUAGUCCAAACAUUUUUCAUGGUACAUGCAUAGUGCACCUUCAGAAACUUUACAGCUCUUCUUAAAACCUCAGUUCUCGUGAUGUUUCUGAUUUAUUUUUGGGACGAGUAACACUUUUGUUGAACCUAGACCAGAUUUAGUAUCCAAUCAAGAAUUUCCAGGAUCUAGCUGAACUCUCUAAUCAAGACCUAAAGAAUAGUUAAUCAAAUCCACACAAAAGAAUCACCCAAAAACAGUAUACAAAGAACAACAAAUAUAAGUGGUUUUGAGAUAAAUGUAAUUGACUUCUGAGCAUGACUUAAUUUUGAGAUCAUUACUUUUAGUUAAAUGAUCUCCUCCAGAGCUUCUACCUAUGUAGUGUUUUUAGACCUCUAUAGUUGAUAAAGCACGUUCAAGGUGAAGGCUUGUUUUCCAAUCUAUAGUCCAAUUAUAGACUGGAAAUGGUCAGGCUUAAUGCACCUUCAAAAGCUUCACAAUUUGUAUUGAAACCUUAAGCCUCAGAAUGCUACAAAUUUUAAAUCCAUAUACUUAGUGCUCUUAUGAUUUGUUUGAUUUUUACUUAGAUGAAGAGCAUUUUAGCUAUAGAAUACAUUGUAACUAAUUCAAAGCAUGCCUUAGCUACGAGAUCAUUCAUUCUAGCCAAAUGCCCCCUUUAGAGAUUCUGCUAUUGUUGUGUAUUCAGCCUCUAUAUUUGGCAAAGCAAUUACAUGUCGAAGGCUUGCUUUCCAGUUAACAGCGCAAUUACAUAGAUUAAAGGUGUAACCAGGCAAAGAACUUAGUUAUUCUGCCAAGGUCUCCAACAUACUCCAAAUCCAUAUAACCACCAGACUUCAAUCUUUAGACUCCAUAGAUCAAACCAUAACUUAGUGUGCCUUUCAAUCUCAGGUAACAUUUUACUGUUUUCCACGUCUUGCCAUGUACUUGCUGCUAACACUAACAAUUUGAGAAAUGUUAGGCAUCGUAAGCAGCCGACAACACUCUUCUUCAUUUCUUCAUUGUCAAUUUCUUUCUUGGAACAUUGCUCCAUUGAGAGUCUGCUAUCAUUGCUCCAAUUAUUAUUAUUUUUGUUUUUUUUUAAAAAAAAAAUAACCGUGCAAUAAGAGUAUAAGACUAAGCAACGGUCCUUUUUUUUUUACCCAUUCUUGAACAUGAAGUAUUUGAGUAUGUAAUAAAAAUUGUUUAUUGAUAAUUAAAAGUUAAUAGUGGGUGGCUUUAGGUUUUGUUUACAAAAUUGACAACAAAUUAAGAUUUUUCAAAUUCAUAGGUAAGAAACUUUUCAUUUAUUCAUAGAUUUUCCGGUUUAAACUUUAAAGGAAACUUAAAAGAAAAAGAUGUAUCAUUAGAUUUGUAAUUAAAAAAAUUUAAUAUUGUAUGAUCUGUUCGAUAUGCAUAAUUUAAAUAAACAUUAAUAUAGAUGUUAUAUAUCCUAAAACUUAAUUGACUUAAUUCUUACGGUGCAAGGAAGACGUUUCCAAGUUUAAAUCUAAUUUGGGGUCGGGAAAGCACUGGGAAAUAAAUGUAACAAAGGAAAAAAGAAAAGAAUGACAGUCUGAGUGGAGCCAACACGGUUUUGAAAAAAGUGCAAAAAAGGGUUUUAGGAUAUACUCUAUUAUCGUUUGUUUGCUUGCUUGUGGAAAUAAAAGUCUCAUGUUUCUUUGAAAGGUAAGCAAGUGUGAAUGUUUCUAUCUAGAGCUGGAAAAUGCAUUUCCGUGCAACUUACUUGAUGAAUGAAGUUUUCACCUCUGACCUUGAUGUUUCCCUGAGCUGCAUUCAUUGCAGCUGAUGUAUUUCAUUUUGUUUUCGAAGGAGUGACACAAAAUCUCCUUUGUUAAGGUGAGAAUUUAGAGUGGCUUUAACUGUUAACAAAUAGCCUAAUGUAAGACUUAAUCAACUUCCUGCCCUGUUGUAUGCUUAUGAAUUUUGAUAGAGUUAUGAGUUUGCAGAAGCUACUGUAUUAUAUGUUGCUAGAGGCUGUAAAAAUGAGGCAGAUCAAACACACAUUUAAAUUUCAGUGACAAUUUACUGGAAGUAAAUUCCUAUGACCCUACAUGUGACUGUGUGGCACCAUCCGCCAUUUGGAAGUGAAUAUCAUUAUUCUUUAAUCAACAUGGUGGAGUCCACGGGGACCACACCACAUGGUCAGUCUUAUCUCUAUUCCUCAAUUUUCAGUAUUCCAUACAUCAAAACAAUUUCAGUUUUGUUAUCAAUUAUAAUUUCAUUGUUGGUGACGAUUCUGAUUCCUUUCUUUCUGACAAAACGGAACCAUGGUUGCUGUGGGAGAGAUCUUACUCAACGCCUUCUUUCAGGUGUUGUUUGACAGGUUGGCUUCCCGUGAUUUGUUCAGCUUUGUCCGUCAACUUGGAGUGGGGGUCGAUUCCGAGCUCAAGAAGUGGGAUAGAAAGCUGAAGAUGAUUCAGGCGGUGCUCAACGAUGCAGAGGAGAAGCAACUGACUGACGAGACUGUGAAGAUGUGGCUGGACGAUCUCCAAGACUUGGCUUAUGACGCUGAGGACAUUCUUGAUGAGUUUGCUACUCAAGCUUUGGAAAGCAAGUUGAUGGCGCAAAAUCAGGAUAGCUCUGGCCAGCUUCUCAGUUUCAUCCCGGCUAGUUUGAAUCCGAAUGCUGCUAGGUUCAAUUAUGGCAUGAGGUCCAAGAUUAACGAUAUUACUAGCCGGUUGGAGCAACUCUGCAAAGAUAGAAUUGAACUUGGGCUGCAACGGAUUCCUGAAGGGGCAUCAUCAACUGCUGCUGCUGCACACCAGAGGCCACCCAGUUCAAGCGUCCCACCAGAACGUGAAGUUUUUGGUAGAGAAGAAGAUAAGGCCAAAAUUCUUGAUAUGGUAUUGGCCGAUAGCCCAAGUGAUCAUGCCAACUUUGUUGUAAUACCCAUUGUUGGCAUGGGCGGGAUAGGAAAAACAACUCUCGCUCGGGAGGUUUACAAUGACAAGGCCGUUGGAGAUUCCAAGUUUGAUGUAAAAGCAUGGGUUUGUGUAUCUGAUGUCUUUGACGUUUUGGGCAUCUCAAAGGCGCUUCUCGAGUCAAUCACCCGCAGGCCAUGUCUUCUAAACAGUUUAAACGAAGUGCAGGUUGAAUUGAAAGUAGCUGUGGAUAAAAAAAGAUUCUUGCUGGUCUUAGAUGAUGUUUGGAACGAGGACUACAGCUUGUGGGUAGACUUAAAAGCUCCGUUCCUGGGUGCUGCACCAAACAGCAAGAUGAUCGUCACCACACGCAAUUCAAGUGUUGCAUCAACAAUGAGACCCAUUGAUCGUCACCACACGCAAUUCAAGUAUUACGAUCUCAAGAGUCUGUUAGAUGAUGAUUGCUGGUCCAUUUUCAUAAACCAUGCAUUUGAAUCUACAGACCUUAGCGCACAUCGAAUUUCAGAAUCAUUCCGCGAGAAAGUUGUUGGCAAGUGUGGGGGCUUGCCUCUGGCAGCAAAAACACUCGGGGGCCUUCUUCGUACUAAAACGCAUGCUGAGUGGGACGGUAUAUUGGAUAGCAAAAUAUGGGAUUUACCUCGGCAAAGCAGCAUUCUCCCCGUGUUAAGAUUGAGUUACCAUCAUCUUCCUUCUCAUUUGAAAAGAUGUUUUGCUUUUUGUGCCAUCUUUCCAAAAGAUUAUGCAUUCACUGAGAGGGAGCUGACUUUCUUAUGGAUGGCUGGAGGUAUUAUUCGACAGUCAAGAAACAAUGAGCAGCUGGAAGAUUUGGGCAGCAAGUGCUUUGGUGAUCUAGUGUCGAGGUCAAUUUUUCAACAAACAGCAAUCUCUGAUAGUUCUAAAUUUGUAAUGCAUACUUGAAAUUUCUGUCUUCAAUAUUUUGAUGCUUUCUUAUCCCAUGCACAAAAGUACUAGAAAAAACUAAUAACAGCUAACCGAAAAUCCCAGGCGUCAUAUUCCUUUUUACCGCGUUUUAAAAUGCACAACAAUGAUAUUCUUACAAAUUUGCAAAAUUUGUCAAUUUCUUAGAUUUCAGAUAUUUUAAUGCUUUUUUUAAUUUUUGAUCUAGUAAAAAUACACAGCCUUCACCGGCAGGAUUCUAGUCUUGGCUUUCACCUCUCUAACUCAUCUGUUCCCAUUGGGAUUCCAGAAAUUGAAAUUUCUGUCUUCAAUGGGUUUUCAAAGCCUCGCCUCUCUUCGAUUUUUGUGGAUCGGGAAUUGCACAAAUCUCACAUCAUUUCCCGAGGUCGAGGAAAAGAGCGGCCCAAACUUGCUCGCAUCCCUUAUUAGGUUAUGAUAGAUGGAAAAUUCAUAUACGAUCCAGAGUCAGAGGUGUUGAUUCUCUUAUUAAGGUCAGCUGAUUUCUAUUAUCCACUCUGACAAUCUCCUAUUCGUGUUUUUCCUUUUUAAAUUUUUUUUCCAAAAUUUUGCAGUUCCGUAUAUUGGUGUUUGUUAAGGUAAUUAGUGCUCCCUCAAUAUUGCAUUUUAGACUGCCAAAUGUAGCAGUAAUUUUAAUACAAUUUUGUUGGUGCCUUGUGUUCCAGAAGCUAGAAAAAUGUGUAGUUUUCAGAUAAGGAGGCUUGUCAGUUCUCUAGUAAGAAUCCAAUGAUUUGCUUUUGCACGUCCAUCUAAUUUGUGGAUCCUUGCAUCAGAAUUUGAUCAAUCCAAAAGGAAUUGCUUUUAGACAGAAGAAGAAUAGCAGCACCUAGCCUACCCGCAAACCUGAAACUAUUAGAUUGAGGUAAAAAAAUCAUUGACCCUCACAUGUUAACUUCUUCUAGUUACUUUCAUUGGGGAAAAAAAAACAUUUAAGGAAUUUGCAAUUUGUUGUUAGUUAUGGUAUCUGAUGUUCUUUUCUGCUUUAGCGUUUGUAGAACCUACUGUAUUAUGUGUUGGCAGUUGCCGUAUCUGAGGUAACUUGCCUUUAUUUGUUUGCUUCUGAGUUAAGGACACCAACAUUUGCCAGAGAUUUAGAGAAUCAUCUCAAAACACUUAGCAAACUUGACAAACUUCAAGAUGCACUUGCCCCCACGCCUUAUUCUCAACAACGCAAAACUUGUGAGUACACCUAUGCCUGCAAUUAUUGUGAAGUGUUCGCAAUUCUGAUGCAGAGAAAUGGUUUCUUGAUGCAAAGUAUUAAACUGUUAAGAUUUAUCCUGCAGGCUUGUUAGAUGUUGUAUACUCGAAAAGCCAACAACAUCAAGAACUACAACUCCAAGACCAACUUUGCGUUAAUUCAGUCAGCUGUAAAAAUGAUGCAAAUGACACUAUAUCAAGCUGGACUUAGAGACUAGUCAGAUCAAUCAUCCAUUUCAUCAACGGUUAAUGUCAUGAUGGUGGCUAUCAGAGGAAACAAAAGAUGUGUCAGAAUCUAUACGAACAUUGAGAAGCAUGAGAGGAGCUUUGAUUUUGAGUAGGGUCAAUGAACUCAUGUUGGUAAGUGGUGAUUAAAGAAAUUUGUAAGCUUAGUAGAGUUUCAGUAUUUUCUGUUUGGAGUAUAGUUGAUAAGUUGACUCUGUUUAAGAAGCCCGAUUAUAGUAGCUGACUGUAUUAACCUUUUUUUUUUUGGUCUGCUGUUGUUUUUGGUUUCGAUUAUUUUUUCAACAUUGGGUUGAUCUGUUGAAGAACAAGCUUGGGUUUGAUUAUGUUUUAACUAUAAGGAAGAGCCAGACUUGGUUGCAGGCGUUAAGCUUUUAAUGGGUAAGAACAAAUGAAUGCUUUAACCAUGUUUCUCACUUAUUAAAAUGCAUGGAUUGAAGGCAUCUGGGUUGAUCCUGACAAUGUGAUGGAAAUACUUCUCUGUUUUCAUGUAACAGGACAAAUAGAGAUCUCUGAUCAUGCCUGAAUUUUUGUUGCAUUGAAAUUUCUACCAUUACCAAACAUAGAAUGAACUGGGGAUACAUUAGCUUAAGACUCAAUUUUGAGAAGGAAGUUUGUACUUGCAGCCUAUAAAAUCAUGUCCGUGUCGUACGUUUCUUUGGGAAAUGAAAGAUUCUGUGUGUUCUUUUAUUUCAAGUUCACUGAAAUCACAUUUGUUUUCUCAGCUGCUUUCCAGAAGGUAACAACAUCAAUUUCAAAAAUGCUGGGGCAAGAUGUAUCAUGCAGUGCGACUCAACUUGAGAAUUCCUGGCCACAUUACCCGUAUGUCUAAUGAUCGCACAGUACAACCUUGAGAAGCUUGUAAUGAGUACACAACUGGGUGCAAGUAGUUUUGAAAUGAAUUUGCCUCAAAUGAUUUCUUGCCGGUGAUUAAUAUAACCUCUAUUCCAAAAUUCUUAGAACUGGUCAUACUAGCAAUGAAGGAUUGCAUACAUUGAAGACAUAGCUGAAGGCCUUGCGAGAGCUCUGUCAGCCCUUGUACCGGAAAACAGCUGGUCGUAGUCGCUUGUGAAUGAUAUGAUUAAUAGAUACUGCAAAAAUGAAUUGUGCCAUACGUUUUCAGCGCUCUGUGAAGAUGUCUUGGUCAUUUGUUUGAUGCUUGUUUGAUUUAUGUUGUAUUCAGCCAUAAAUCAGAGAUUCAGAACUUGGGUAUGUUUCUGGUUUCCAAAUCAAAAAAUUGCCUUGUGAUGUUAGUGUUCACUGUUUUCACAGGAGAUCAGGUUCCUUGUUAAUGAAUCAAGAAGAAGGCAAGCGCAUCCAUGUCCAAGUUCAAAUGUGUCUCCUCUAUUUUCUAUUACCCACUCAUUUAUUUUGAUUUCUUCAUUGUAAUUGAAUUAGUUUUUUAUUCCAAAUUAGUCAAAACCUCGUAGAGUCAUUAAGUUCUUUUAGCAUUUAAAGACAGAACUACGAACCAAAUGAUUUAAGUUCUUCGUUGUAAUUGAAUUUGCUUUCCCAUCUUUAGAGAUAUUAUGUUCUUUUUCACUUUUUCGAUUUGGUUAGUGGUGAUUUCUUAAAGACUCAAUCCAUUUGCGUUAAUACAUUUUUCUUUUGCCUUGAUUUCUGUUUCUUGGGGAGUUUAUACAUAUUAUUAUUUUAUGCUACACAUGCCAUAUACAGAUUCUUAUUUUAUGCUUCACAUGCCACAUAAAAGGUCAAAGCCUUGUGUGUGAUUAGAAUUUACUGGCAUCAUAGUAACUUUAAACCAUUGUGACGUUUUAGUAAUAACAGUUUGAGCUCUCCCUGAAGGAUUCAAAGCAUUUUAUUUUAUAUUAUACUCCUUUAUAUGGUUUGGCUGGUCUCUUUUAAGGCAAUUCCUGUUUAAAGUAAUCAAAAUUUUGAUUUCGAAGUGUCUUUCAACACUACCGCUAGUUCUUUAAGAAAAGUAAAUCGAUUUUGAGUCUUCUGUAUCAUCUGAUUGAAAUACAUGAAAGCACUCUUAGCUGCAAAAGUACACUUGGAGUUAUAAUAGCAUUCUGAAAUCUCCUUGAAGGAUUCAAAAGCUCUUUAUUUGCUAGUCUUUGCUUGCAAUAAACUCCUUUAAUAUAGAUUGGUUGAUCUUCUUUAAAGCAAUUACCAUAAGUUCUUUAAAUAAUAAAACGACUUUGAGUCUUAUGUAUCAUCUUGUUGAAAUACAUGAAAGCACUCUUGGCUGUAAAAAUGCACUUGGGGUUAUAUAUAAAGUCUUCAACAGAAUUUUAUUUCCCCCUUUAUCCUCAUGGUGGUCUUUUUAGUUGUUUUUUAAGAAAUCGCUUGAAGGUUCUCUUUAAAAAUAAUUUUAACAUAAGCAUUCUUUAGAAGCACUUUAGAUGUCUGGCAUUUAGAAAAUUUUGUUCCUGUGUUCACAUAAUAUAAUAUAUAUAUAGAAAGCUGACUGUAGAAUAGAGGAGAACGAGUUGGUGUUGGUCUGAACUCUGAUCUUUGAAUCUCAUGUGACUCCACUACUUUUUACUUGUUCUGUACAAGGUCUUUUAGCUUUUCAAAAAGUUUUAGCUUUAUGGAUAAAAUACUGUUAAUUGUAAUCUAUAAAUAAUGAAAGGAAUUAAUAAAAUAUUUGGUAAAUUUUAUUUUCUAAAGUGUUAUGAGUUCUAAAACGGCUGUAUGUAUAUAAAUUUAUUUACACAUAUAUUUAUAAAUAUGAUUAUAUAAUAAUAUUUUAUGUGUACAUAUCAUAAUUGAUAACUAAAAUAAAUAUUUUUAUUUUAUUAAUGGUUUUUCCGUCUCAAUGUAGUUGGUAAUAAUAAUCUCUUUAGAUGUAAUGAUUUUAUUUCCUAACUGAAUAAGGAAAAUUUUAGAUUUUUAUAAUAAAUGUUAAAUAUAUCUAGAAUUACAUUAAGUAUGAAAUAAUCCUCAAAAUUAGAUUUUGAAAAGUUAUUCUUUUAUUACUUUUAAAAAUAUGUCAUAUGAUGAGAUGAUUUUAUUAAAAGUGAUUUUUUUUUAAAAAAAUUACUAAACAUCAAAAUUAACUCUUAACUUUUUAAAAUCAUUUCUAAUCUUCUCAUCCUAAGUUCUUUAUUGUUUUGUACAAAAUCCAAGGUUUUUACUUUUAUAAAAUGCCCACUCAAAAAUAAAUUAUUUUCUAAUUAAGAUUUGUUGUUAAUGUAUACCUCGAAGUAAUAUUAGAUAUUUGUAAUUUUAUUUCAAAAAUUUUAUUCAAAUGAUAUGGCAAGCAAUGAACAAUAGUUGAUAGCAAUUUUUUUUUUUUAAACAAUGUUCAAAUCAAUCAGUUGCAUUAUCUCACCAUUUUUAUGAUGUCAUGUUAUUUUAAAUGAUUUUUUUAAUUUUUAUAUAAAACAUACGACGUGUUAACAUCAUUUGCAUAACUUGACCUUUUUUUUUUCCUACAAAUAGUAAGUCAAAUUUACUCACCCUAUUUCUACCUAAAACUCAUGCAUCACUGUAAAACAAAUCCAAAGAUUGCGAUACGUUUUUCUUGGCAAGAAAUCAAUAAUUAGGUCAAGUACUACUACUAAGCGUGCACAAUUAAUUCUAAAAUACGGUGAUCAAAAUCAUACUUGACGCAAGAGGAUAAGGGCUGAACUUCAAUUAGGCAUUAUUCAUCCAAAAUUCAUUGACUCGGCAUUCUUUGCAAGUUGUAGCAUGGGACAGCUAAGAUAAUUAGCAAAUGAUAUGGACCAUAUGCACCCAUACAUUUCCUUUAAUGCCAACUCUUCAUUGAAUGAUUAUCAGAUCCAAUACGCAUCCUUUGAUUGGAUUAUUUUAAGUCAAUUAUUGGUGGAUUGGGGCCCACUUGACUCUACCAAAUCGGGCUCCACCAUAUCACCUAUUAACGACCACCUGUCCUUAUCAUAAAUAGCAAAUGUCACUUGUUUUAUUUUGUAUUUUACCAAAAGCAAAGUCACUAUGAACCCAAAUGAAAGUGACCUCAAUUUUGGGGGUCAUGAACUUUGGAUUAUUAUGGACACAAGAGACAAGCGCAAUGUUUCUCAUUUAUCACUGGAUAAGAUUUAAGUUAUCAACCCAAUAUUAAUAAAUUCUGCUUGAAAAGUAAAGUUUGAAGCUUCAUUUUGCGAAUAUUCAAUGGUUAACAUUUAAGUAAUUAACCUGAUAUUAAUCUAAUUAAACUUUUUAUGUUAUCCAAGUCAAACAUAUAUUGAUAAACCUAAAUUAAUCUAAUUGGACAUAUUAUUUCAACUUGAAAAGGUGAAUCUAUCAUUUUUCAAUUAAUUUUGAAUCAAGCUAUGUAAAAUAUAAGCUUAUUAAAGACAUAUUUGAAAAAUUCAAAUUGAAUUAUUUGACAAUUACAUUUCAACUAAGUUGUACUGCUAAUUAACUUCCUCAACUUAAAAUGUAUUGUUCUCAAUUAAUUCGUAACAAAGAAUGUUAGAUGUUUUGUUCGAAUAAUAACAUUCAACAUCCUUAUUCUUUAUGAUUAUUGCAUAAAAAACAUAUUUUAUCCAUUUACGUCACUAUCGAAAACUUUGAACAGUCAAUACAAAUGCUUCCGUUUCAUCCCAUAAACAAAUAAAAUUCACAUCUGUACACAUCUACUUUGCUUUGCUAGAUAGAGUUCCUCUGCAUUUCCCAAUUGCCUAAAGAGAAGGGGAAAAGAAAAAGAGGGCCAAAAAAUGCCUGAAAUGGUAAGGAACAAGCAAGUGAUAUUGAAGAACUAUGUGUCUGGUUUCCCAAAAGAAACAGACAUGCACAUGACCGAAAGUUCCAUAGAAUUGAAGGUGCCAAAAGGUUCAAAUGGGGUUCUUUUAAAGAACUUGUACUUGUCCUGUGAUCCGUACAUGCGACCAAGAAUGACCUACAUCGAAGGAUCUUACGUUGAAUCCUUUAAACCUGGCUUGGUUAGUGCACUCGCUCAUGGCCACGCUUUUCAUUUCCAUGGCUUCUUGCUCUUUUGUUAUAGAAAAUUUAUUUUUGGUUGCAGUUUGGUUCGACUGCUAAAAUCUCGUGCGAUAAUUGUAUAAGAUAUCUAGAGUUUGAACUUCUUUCACAUUAGGGUUCAAGGAAGUUAACUUAAAUGAUUUUCAAAAUUUUAAAUGUGUACCAAUGAAUUUAAUUUCAUAGCUUAAACUUAUAUUUUGAUCAUACUCUAACUUUGGACAGGAAAAAUUAUAUUUUUCCUUUAGUUCUUUGACUUGGAGUAUGUUGUGUGAAGUACUUGUGCUUGAAAAUGAAUUGCUGACACAGAAAUUUCUAUGAAUGCAUGCAGCCCAUAAGUGGAUAUGGGGUGGGUAAAGUUUUGGAUUCAGAGAAUCCAGAGUUCAACAAAGGUGACUUGGUUUGGGGAAUGACUGGAUGGGAAGAGUAUAGUCUCAUUACGGCUCCACACUUGUUUAAAAUUCAACACACAGAUGUGCCUCUUUCUUACUAUACUGGAAUCCUCGGUAAACUUUUUGUUUGCGCAAUUUAUGUGAGCAAAUUGUGUCUUCUUUUUCAUAUGUAAAUGUUUUUGAUAUCUUGAUGUGAAGGUAGAAAAUUGCAUGUUUUGAGUUUUUGCAUAUUUGAUGGAAACACAGAACUGUACCUGAAUCUUUCAGAACCCCCUUUUCUUUGAAGUUUGAACACUUUUCUUGAAUGUAUCAACUUUAUUUAUGGGAUAUGUUGCCAAAUUGGCAAAUCUAUUCGUUAUAAAACUUUCCUUUGACAGUUUAAUCUAAGCAGAUGUUAAUUCUGCAAAUAGAGUGUGCCUUAGAUUAGUUUCAUAGAUUUGUCUCCUUCUGUACAGUAAAAACUUUGAGCAUUUUCGCCAUAUUCUGAUCAAUACACUCCAACUAGUUAGUUCUUGAGGCGUUUUAUGGUUUUGUGGAGUGAGGCAAGAUGUAUACGUUUGCAAAUUGGCAAUGUCUUUUGCUUGAUGGGUUGAGAGUUGUGAGUGUCAAUAGGAAAGUCUCAAAGUGCGCAGUGCUCACUUGAGCACCCAUAUUACUUGGUGACCUGUUGCCUCAGCAAACAGGACCUCUGUUUUAUGAACUCCAAAAAGUUAUUCUGUUAAAUAGAUCGAGACAGAGGCCAUACUAUAUUUAUUAUUGCUACAAAAGUGUGAAACAAUAUUCUUUAUUUAAUAUUCUAAACAAUUGAGCCAUUUAGUUAUGAUACUCUGCUGUAUUGGGGCUAAUAAUCUAAGUCGGUUCAAAGUGGUAAAUUUAUAAAUUGAUAGGUAUGCCUGGUAUGACCGCUUACGUUGGAUUUUAUGAGGUCUGCUCUCCUAAGCAAGGAGAGUGUGUCUUCAUAUCCGCCGCAUCUGGUGCAGUUGGACAGCUUGUGGGCAAAGUUAUUGGGUUGCUAUGUCGUCGGAAGUGCUGGAAGCAAAGGCAAGGUAUGUAAUCUGUGUGAAGUACUUGCUUGUUUCCAUGUUACUUUCAAACAUUUAAAUUAAAAAGGAAAUUUUCAUAAUCUUGCCUUUUCUAUGAUUUUCAAAACCAAGGUUGAUCUACUGAAGAACAAGUUUGGGUUCGACGAGGCAUUUAACUAUAAAGAAGAAGCUGAUUUGAAUGCUGAUUGUUGGGAAUUUGAUUAUUCUAGGUAUGCCUGGUGUAACUGCAUACGCUGGUUUAUACGAAGUUUGCUGUCCGAAGAAAGGAGAGUAUGUCUAUGUAUCUGCAGCAUCUGGAGCUGUUGGUCAGCUUGUUGGACAGUUUGCAAAAUUAGCUGGUUGCUGUGUUGUUGAAAGUACUGGAAGCAAAGAAAAGGUGCUGUUAUAACAUUCUUAAGUAGUAAAUAUAGCACCGUGCCUUCUACCAGAAUUUUACAUGCUUUAUGUUCCAACUAAGCAUCCAUAUAUGAUCGUGAUAAUUAGCAAGGUCAAUAAUUUUUUUUUGACUAUUUUUUCAAUGUAAGGUCGAUUUGUUGAAGAACAAGUUUGGACGAUGCUUUUAACUACAAGGAAGAGCCAGACUUGGAUGCAGCACUCAAAAGGUCAGCUCCAACAAACGUUUCAACUCUAAUAUUUCAUUUUAAUAUUACAGAGCUUUGGUUGAAGUGUGUGAUUUGAUCCCAGAAAUGUAACUUCAUCAGUGUCUCUGUUUUCAAAAAACAGGACAAAUAGAAAUCUGAUUUUGCUUUAAAAUUUCCCAGAUGCUUCCCUCAAGGAAUCGACAUAUAUUUCGAAAAUGUUGGGGGAAAGAUGCUGGACGCAGUGCUACUCAACAUGAGGCUCCGGGGCCGCAUUGCGGUAAGCAGUAUCAUCUCACAGUACAACCUGGAAAAACCCGAAGGCGUACACAACUUAGAGCAACUGAUCGGGAAACGGAUUCGCCUGGAAGGAUUUAUAGCUGGGGAUUACUAUCACCUCUACCUGAAAUUCUUGGAAUUGGUCAUUCCUGCAAUCAGAGAAGGAAAGAUGGUGUAUGUGGAAGACAUAGCCAAAGGACUCGAGAAAAUUUCUCGUAACUGCUACACAUUAAACGCAUUUCACAUUUCCACUCUCUCUCUAUAAAUAAAUACGCACAUAAAAUUUGUCACCAUCCAAAAACAAAAUCUACAUAAAAAAUGGCGGGUGAAGAAGCAGUGAGCAACAAGCAGGUGAUUCUGAGCAACUACGUGACAGGGUUUCCCAAAGAAUCAGACAUGAAGAUAAUAACAGGCUCAAUAAACCUCAGGUGCCAGAGGGUUCAAAAGACGCAGUGCUUUUGAAGAAUCUUUGUCUUUCCUGUGAUCCUCACAUGAGAGGACAUAUGAGCGAGCUUGAUAAGCCUUGGUUUGUUGCCUCGUUAAAGUCUCGAAAAUCCUGAAGGUAUCGACAUCUAUUUCGAAAAUGUUGGGGGUAAGAUGCUUGAUGCAGUGCUACUCAACAUGAGAAUUUGUGGCCACAUCGCUGUAUGCGGAAUGAUCUCACAGUACAACCUUGAGAAGCCUGAAGGUGUACACAACUUGAUGCAAGUAGUUGGAAAACGAAUUCGCAUGGAAGGAUUUCUUGCCGGUGAUUUCUACCACCAAUAUCCAAAAUUCUUGGAACUGGUUAUGCCGGCAAUCAAAGAAGGAAAGUUAGUAUAUGUCGAGGACAUAGCUGAAGGCCUUGAGAAAGCUCCAUCAGCUCUAGUUGGGGUAUUCACUGGGCAGAAUGUUGGAAAACAACUGGUUGUAGUUGCUCGGGAAUGAUAUGAUUACUAUAUGACCAUACACUUUAAAAGCUUAGUGAAGAUGCCUGUGUCUUAUUUGUGAUACAUGUUAUGUUUGUUUGAUCAAGUUGUACUCAGCUAUAAAUCAAAGAUUCAGAACAUGUGUAUGACACUGGUUUCUAAAUCAAUGAACGCUUUCAAAUGUUAGUAUUUUCACAGGAGAAUGCAAUUUAAUUUAUCAACGAUGUCCCAACAAGACCCUCAGAACUGUAGCUUGUAAAGUUAAUUACCAUAUUUUUUUCUUUCCAAUAUAUUUGCUUAUUUCAUAGAAAGUUUACAUUAAAGUCUCAUGUUUCUUUGAAAGGUAAGCAAGUGUGAACGUUUCAAUCUAGAGCUGGAAAAUGCAUUUCCGGGAACUUACUUGAUAAAUGAAGUUUUCAUCUCUGACCUUGAUGUUUCCCACAGGUGCAUUCAUUUCAGCUGAUCUAUAUAAUUUUGUUUUCGAAGGAGAGACACAAAAUCUCCGUUGUUAAGGGGAGAAUUUAGAGUGGCUUUGACUGUUAACAAAUAGCCUAAUGUAAGACUUAACCAACUUCCUGCCCUGUUGUAUGCUUAUGAAUUUUGAUAGAGCUAAGAGUUUGCAGAAGCUAUUGUAUUAUAUGUCGUUAGAGGCUGUAAACAUCAAACACAUUUAAAUUUCAAUGAAAAUUUACUGGAAGUAAAUUUCCUUUGAUCCCACAGGUGACUAAUUAAUGAGAACUUGACAAUGACAAAAGAAAGUGUAUGAACUUUGCAGGCUGGCAUGCCAAUAUUGACUGGGUGGCACCAUCCACCAUCUGCAAGUGAAUAUCAUUGUUGUUUAAUCAACAAGGUGGAGUCCACUGGGACCACACCACAUCGUCAGCCUUAUCUCUAUUCCUCAAUUUUCAGUAUUCCAUACAUCAAAACAAUUUCAGUUUUGUUAUCAAUUAUAAUUUCAUUGUUGGUGACGAUUCUGAUUCCUUUCUUUCUGACAAAACGGAACCAUGGUUGCUGUGGGAGAGAUCUUACUCAACGCCUUCUUUCAGGUGUUGUUUGACAGGUUGGCUUCCCGUGAUUUUCUCAGCUUUGUCCGUCAACUUGGAGGCGGGGUCGAUUCCGAGCUCAAGAAGUGGGAAAGAAAGCUGAAGCUGAUUCAGGCGGUGCUCAACGAUGCAGAGGAGAAGCAACUGACUGACGAGGCUGUGAAGAUGUGGCUGGACGAUCUCCAAGACUUGGCUUAUGACGCUGAGGACAUUCUUGAUGAGUUUGCUACUCAAGCUUUGGAAAGCAAGUUGAUGGCGCACAAUCACGAUAGUUCUGGCCAGGUUCUCAGUUUCAUCCCGGCUGGUUUGAAUCCGAAUGCUAUUAUGUUCAAUUAUAGCAUGGGGUCCAAGAUUAAAGAUAUUACUAGCCGGCUGGAGCAACUCUGCCAAGAAAGAAUUGAACUUGGACUGCAACGGAUUACUGGAGGGGCAUCAUCAACUGCUGCUGCUACACAGCAGAGGCCGUCCAGUUCGAGUGUCCCAACAGAACGUGAAGUAUUUGGAAGAGAAGAAGAUAAGGCCAAAAUUCUUGAUAUGGUACUGGCCGAUACUCCAAGUGUUCAUGCCGACUUUGUUGUAAUACCCAUUGUUGGCAUGGGCGGGAUAGGAAAAACAACUCUCGCUCGGGAGGUUUACAAUGACAAGGCCGUUGGAGAUUCCAAGUUUGAUGUAAAAGCAUGGGUUUGCGUAUCUGACGUCUUUGAUGUUUUGGGCAUCUCAAAGGCACUUCUCGAGUCAAUCACCCGCAGGCCUUGUCUUCUAAACAGUUUAAAUGAAGUGCAGGUUGAAUUGAAAGUAGCUGUGGAUAAGAAAAGAUUCUUGCUGGUCUUAGAUGAUGUUUGGAACGAGGACUACAGCUUGUGGGUAGACUUAAAAGCUCCGUUCCUGGGUGCUGCACCAAACAGUAAGAUGAUCGUCACCACACGGCAUAAAGAUGUGGCCUCAAUAAUGGGACCCAUUGAUCAUUACGGUCUCAAGCCUCUGUUAGAUGAUGAUUGCUGGUCCAUUUUCAUAAAGCAUGCAUUUGAAUCUAGAGAUCUUAACGCACAUCAAAUUUCAGAAUCAUUCCGCAAGAAAGUUGUUGCCAAGUGUGGAGGCUUGGCCCUGGCAGCAAAAACACUCGGAGGCCUUCUGCGUACGACGAGGCUUGAUGCGUGGGAUGAUAUAUUAGAGAGCAAAAUAUGGGAUUUACCUCAACAAAGUGAGGUUCUCCCAGUAUUUAGAUUGAGUUACCAUCAUCUUCCUUCUCAUUUGAAAAGAUGUUUCGCUUACUGUGCAAUCUUUCCAAAAGAUUAUGAAUUCAAUGAGAAGGAGGUGACUUUUUUAUGGAUGGCCGGAGGUAUUAUUCGACAGUCCAGAAGCAAAGAGCGGCUAGAAGAUUGGGGCAGCAAGUGCUUCUAUGAUCUGGUGUCAAGGUCAAUUUUUCAGCAAACAGCAAUCUCUGAUAGUUCUAAAUUUGUAAUGCAUGACCUUAUUCAUGAUCUUGCUGAAUCGGUCUUUGGAGAAACCAUAUUCAGGUUAGAGGAGGCCAAUACUCAGUCAAGAAGAUUUGAAAGGGUUCGUCAUUCUUCCUAUGUUUGUGGUGGACGUGAUGGUAAAAAUAUGUUCGAGGUUUUCAAUGAAAUUGAACGUCUCCGAACAUUCUUGCCAUUACGCUUACGCAUAAGAGGUGGCUCUAAUACUAGUUUCAUAACUCGUACGGUUCUAUCUGAUUUGCUGCCGAAGUUCAAAAUGUUGAGAAUGCUAUCUUUACAAGGAUACCGUAUCGGUGAGUUACCAAUUCCGUUUGAAGAUUUGAGACUUCUAAGGUUCCUCAACCUUGCUGACACUGACAUAAGAAGUUUACCUGAGUCAACAUGCAAAUUGCUGAACUUGGAAAUUUUGAUAUUAAGAAAUUGUUCCCGUUUGAUAAAGCUUCCGCAGAAAAUGAGGAAUUUGAUCAAUUUACGUCACCUCGAUAUAAGAGGUGCGAAGUUGCUGAAGGAGAUGCCAUUCGGAAUGAAAGAGUUGAAGAAGCUUCAAACAUUGUCCAAUUUCAUCGUGGGCAAGGGCGAAACUGCAUCUGGUUUGGAAGAUUUAAAAUGUUUAAACCUUCUUUGUGAUGAACUUUGCAUUGCUGGAUUAGAGAAUGUGAAUAAUCCACAGAAUGCAAGAGAAGCCGCAUUAUGCGAGAAGCACAAUCUUGAAGCACUGACUCUAGAUUGGGGGUCUCAAUUUGACAAUUCUCGAGAUGGAGUAGUAGAAGAGCAUGUACUGGAAAUUCUACAGCCUCAUAAACGUAUAAAAAAGGUGGCAAUCAGGAACUAUAGAGGUGCAAGAUUUUCACAUUGGAUAGGAGAUCCUUUGUUCUCCAAAAUAGAGUUCCUUGAAUUGGAGAACUGUGACAAUUGUGUAUCUUUGCCAUCGCUUGGCCGUUUGAAUUCACUUAAGCACCUUGCUGUUAAAGGGCUGAAGAAACUAAAAAGCAUAGAGUCUGAGGUUUAUGGGGAGGGUUUCUCAAUGCCUUUUUCGUCACUGGAGAUUCUAAGUUUUGAGAAUUUGCCAGAAUGCGAGCAUUGGGACACCAAUAUCAAAGGAAAUGUGCUUGUUGAAAUAUUUCCUCGUCUCCAUAAACUUUCCAUUGUGGAAUGUCCCAAACUCUCCGGAAAACUGCCUCAGCUCCUGCCCUCCUUGAAGACACUUGUUGUUAGUAAAUGUGAAAAGUUGGUAGUUCCAUUGUCAAGCUAUCCGAUGCUCUGCAGAUUAGAAGUUGAUGAGUGCAAAGAGCUAGUGUGCAGGACUCCAAUUAAUUUUGAGUUGAUAAAGUCUGUGACUAUUUCAAAUAAUUCAUUACGCAUGAAUGGACGCAAGGGGAUGCUAUGCCAUGGUCCAGCUGGCUCUUCACUGCAGAAACCCAAGACUAUUAUGAAUGUUUUGGAGUUUGGAAAAUUAUUGAAGCCUGGAUUACAGAUAUUAGAAACUUUGGUAAUUGGCAAUUCUGAACAGCUCAAGGAUUGGAGUACUUUUAUUGAACCAGGGCUACAUUUGCUCGCUCACAAUGAGGAGGUAUCAAUUGAAGAAAGUUGCGUACGUCUUGUUUCGGUUCCAGAGAUCAAUUUCUUUCCCAGAAAUCUGCGCUCUCUUCGAAUUUGCAACAGCACUGCUUUGAAAUCCUUACCCGAGGAAAUGAUGGAAAACAAUUCACAACUCGAAAGAUUGUAUAUCAGAGAUUGCGACUCUCUAAUAUUCAUCGCAAGACGGAGGCUACCAGCAUCUCUUAAAUGGCUUGAGAUCAGAAACUGUGAGAAAUUGCAACGUCUGUUCGAUGAUGAAGAGGAUGCUUCUUCUUCUUCUUCUCCUUCAUCCUCGUCUUCCCCGGUGAUGCUGAAACACAUGAGAAUAGAGAACUGCCGAGAGCUCACCAGUUUAUCAUCGGGUGUCCAAUUCCUUGAGGCGCUUGAAGACCUCGAAAUACAGGGUUGUCCAAAGCUGGAGUCAUUACCGGAUGGCCUGCCCAAUCUUAAAUGUUUACAGAACAUUAAUAUACUGGAAUGUCCAAGUCUUGUUUCCUUCCCAGAAAGAGGGCUUCCCAACGCCAUUUCAAAUUUUUGCAUUUGCUUAUGCGACAAGCUUGAAGCCCUGCCCAAUGACAUGCACAAACUCAACUCUCUUCGAGGUUUAAGCAUACAGAUCUGUCCAAAUCUUGUAUCGUUUCCAGAAGAAGGUUUUCCUACCAAUCUAACAAUCCUUGUAAUUGGAGAUUUCGAAUUGUAUAAGACACUCGUCCAGUGGGGGUUGCACAGGCUUACCUCUCUUAGAGAACUCUGGAUUGCUGUAAGUGAAAAUGAAGUAGAGUGUUUUCCAGACGAGGAGAUAGGAAUGACGCUGCCCACCUCUCUCACUCAUCUGUCCUUUAAUGCAUUCCAAAAUUUGAUAUUUCUGUCUUCAAUGGGUUUUCAAAACCUCACCUCUCUUCAAUCUUUGUUGAUCGGGAAUUGCCCGAAUCUCACAUCAUUCCCAGAGGUGGGC